UUUUUUUUUUUUUUUAUGAAAACUCAGUCAACAUAUAAAGCUCUAUAGACUUGUAGUAUAUGGGUAAAAAGAUACCUAAAUACAAUGAAACAGCUCAUGACCCUGUUAUCACGAGUGAAGUAGAUCCUUUCAAGAUUGAUUCUUAUUUCAAAUUGUCAUGAAAGAUAAGUCAGUAAUGGACUUUAUGAACUUGUAAUGUGGCUUAAAAAUGAUAGUUAAAAGAAGUAAGAUUUUCAAGGAUAUUGCAUUUAAAAUUGCAUUUCUUCCAAAAUUGCCCCCAUUUUGGGAUAAAAAACCUUAGACCCCAUUUCAACUCUUAUCAUCAUCACUGAAAGGAUUUUGGCAUUGAAUUUUCUCUUUUUCUCUUUUUCGCUUUUUCGCUUUUUUUGCAUUUUCUUUUUCUUUUUUCCUUCAUUUUCUCUUUGCUUUUCCUUUUCCUUUUCCUUUUUCUUUUCGUGAAUACUAAAGUCUAACUAUCAAUGGUAGAAUCAAAACUCCCUAACUUUUAAAAAAUACAUACACAAUUCUUUUUUUUUUCCAAUACUUCAUGUUUCUUCUAAAAAAUUUAGCAUUUUUACUAUUAUUGAAAAUUCUCAAAUUUCCUACCCUAAUGUAGGGUGCAAUCAUAAGUACUUUUGAAACAAAUACCAAUUUAAACUCAAAUAAAGAUGCCAAGGACAAACAGCGUUUAAAAGUAGAAAAGAUGGCCAAAGUAUCAUUUUUACUUCACAUAACAACCAAAGUAGAGAAUAGAUAGCUCAUUAGGAGAAUCUAUUCUCUUUCGACAUUUGAAAAUUUUUUCAAUGUAGGGUUGUGAUCACCAAGACUCUUAUUUGGAACGAAAUUGUACUUUUGAUGGCUCAAAUAGAAAAACAAAUGAUGAAAUAUGUAUAGAUAGAGAAAUGAAUGCCUAAAGUAUCAUCCCAAAUUCUCAAAAUAAAUAAGAGUAACGAAUAUUUUUGUCUUCAACUAGAUGUUGAUUGAAUCUAGUUAGAAAUACUGAACCCUUCCAAAGAAAAAAUUGCCCCGCGUUGAAAUUUAUCAACCAAUGUGAUUGAUUCUGGAGGUUUGAUAGAAUUGGACAAAAUAUGAAUUGCAAAAAUGAAAGAGAAAAGGUAUUAUACUUGGUCUUUUAAAACAAACUAACAAGUUCAAGUGGCCCCUUUGAUAUUUUGAUUUCAAAUACUCUCACUGAAUUGUAUGGGCUACAAAUCUAGUACAUGCAAAGACUUUAGAAAGCUAAACACACACUUAUGGAUUUCAUACAAUAGAUGAAAAAAAUUGAGAAUCGUAACUUAGUCUUUUUUUUAAGAUUCAUCGUGAAGUCUCCAUACAAGUAGAAAAAGAAUGGAAUGCAAAUAAAUAUAUACAACUGCAAACAAGAAUAGUCUAAAUGAAAAAAAUUCAUUAUUGCAAACGUUUGAAACAAAAAUGUUGCUCAAUUAGAGUUCAAAUGAGAAAAAAAAAACUCCCUUUCAUACACACACACACACACACACACACACACACACUUUCUCCUUUUCUUUUAAGACAAAUUGUAUUAGAAACAACAAAGAAAGAAUUUUUCUUUUGGCAAACAACUAUAUCAUGAAAUCUCUUAGAUGCUCUAAAUUGGCGCUUCUAGAUGAAUUCUUCAUAUUUCACAUUGUAGGAUCUAUGCAAGAGUCAAGUAAUAUUUAUAUUUUUUAAAACUUUAUCAGAUCAAAAUUAUUGUCAAAUAUGAAAAAAUCAUUUUGCCUUAUUGAAAUAUCUUUUAUAAAUGUCGAGGAGGGAAAAAAGAAAAAAAAUACUUAGAAUUAGUAAACAAAAUUGCAAAUCUGGUAUGCAUAUCCUAUAAGUAAAUCCUUUUAUACCAAGGAUUGGCCUAGUAUGAAAAUGCAAUCCUCUAGGUUAGUUGCCAUAUAAUAGUUGAUGGAUCUGUUGGGGAUAAUACAAGAGAAGAUGGCUAAAAGUUACAAAGCAAAUGAUACAAAAAGAUUUCAAAUUGUGACUCAAAAUCACUUUUCUUUAGGGUUUAUUUGUCCAGAAUUUUGUGUGCAAAGACUUUGGACAAAUAUCCUUUAGAAUAAUUUGAAAAGUGUUUGUCUUAACUCUUGCACAAAUUUAGACAAAUCUACUUAAACUAUGGUGUGCUUGUACAGAGAAUUCUAGUAAUAGGAAAAUGAUCUUUUGUAGCAAACCAUCCCUACUAGACCUUUAUAGAGUUGAGAUUGAAUAAUCAAGAGUUGCAACCUUUCACCACUAGUUUACGUAUUUGUGUUGGUUCAAAUGUUCCUCAACAUCAAUGCAAGUGUUCAGACAGUUUUUGGAUAUUUAAACACUAUUUAGAUUGUAAUUAACUGUCAAAAACAUAAAGAGGUGCCAAGUAGACUUGAAUAACUUCUAAACAUUGUAGGAACCAGAUAAUGGUGGGUCUUAUGUCGGGUUCUAAGACAGGCCCCUAUCUUGCAAUUGAUCAAAAUUUGAAAAUAUCCAAUAGGAUCCAAUCAAUUUAUUGAUAUUUGACUAAAAAACUGAUUGAUUGUUUUGAUUGACACAUGAAGAGAUGCAAAAGGCCAAUUUAGCAUGAAAGAACCUACUUUUAGAGGGAUUGCAAUGCCUCUACUUGGCCUUGAUAUUUUAUUAUCUCAACAAUAAUAACUUAUUUGUAAACUUCUUCGACUUAGUGUCCUAACGCAAAGGAUUUUACAAUCUUUGAUAAAGUAGCCAAAAUGUGAUUAUCAAAGGCUCAUAUUCUAAUGUGCAAAAACUACUCCAUAAUCUUCAAUGUCAUUAUCAUGAAAGGGAUCAGAUCCUAUCUUACCUUGUGUACUACCGCUUUGAAUGGUGCAAAAAAUAUAAAUAUGCAAGUCUGAUUAGAUUAUAUAUCCAAGACAAAAGGAUAGUUUAUUAUUAAUGCAGGAUUCCCUAAAUGGCAUUCCCUCUGUAGUUAAUGCAUGAUGAUGGUUUAUUAAAAUGAGUAAAUAUGCAACAUGAUAAUUGAAAUAUGACCUAAAGAUGCCCCUAUUGAAUGCCAAGGUAAGCCUAAAAUGAAAUAUAAUAUACAUAUAUAUGUAGCGUUAAUGCAAUAAACAAAAAUUUAAAUCUGUAAUAAUUUAAUGGGUAAAAUACCAAAAAGCUCCAUGUGGAUUGUCAAAUGUUAAAUUUAACUCCUUUUGAUUUGGAAACCUUCACUAUAACUCUCUGUGAUUUCAACUAAAUUGAAAGUUGGAUGGAAAGCAUCCAAUCUAACAGUUAUACGUAAAAUGUCAAGAUUGCCCUUAUAUAAAUAAACUCCCUAUGAUUCGCUAAAUAUUUAAUUUCACUCCCUCUGGUUUGAAAAACUACACUAUAGCUCCCUGCGAUUUCGACUAAAUUGAAAAUUGAAUGGAAAGCAUUUUACGUAUAGUAGGUGUAAGAUUGACAUUUCCUAUUCAACCGUUACAUUGAAUGCUUUCUGUCCAAUUUUUAAUUUAGUCGAAAUCACAGGGAGUUAUAGUAUAAGUUUCCAAUUUAGAGGUGUUAAAUUAAACAUAUAUCAAACCACAAGGAGUAUUUUGGUGUUUUACCCUAAUUUAAUCUAAAGGGUAGUUUCUCCUAAAUGACUACCAUACCAAGUUUCUUAUUUCUAAGGUUUAUGAAUGCAAGACAAGGGAAGAAAACAAGAUUAGUUUAUUUGAUAAAUAACACAUAACACAUUGGAACAACAAAAUAAUACAAAAAUAUAUGGUAAAGAAAAGAAAAAGGGGUAGAAUGCCUCUCCUCGUGUCUAGUGUUCCUAACAAGAUGAAUGAGGCUCUAUCCUAGGUGAUCUAAAUGGAUGCACGAGGUUGAAGUUCAUUAAUGCAUAUAGAUUCAAUAGGGUUUUAAGUCCCCAAACCUACAGACCAAAAGGCAAAUGGUCAUCAAUCCCAGGGCCUUUAAUUGGUGGCUCGAGUAAUCCUCCAGACACUAUUACGUGCACGUCGUGCCAUGGCCACAUGUCCAAGUGGAUCAAUCCUAAUUCUAAUCCUAAUAGAGAAAAAUGGUAUGACAACCACUAAAAGAAAAAAAAACAAGGGUUAAAAAGGAAUAACAUAUAUGCAUAUAAAGUGUUCCUUUAAGGGAAGGGAUUAAGAACCAUUAAACAUGUAUGAAGGCUCUAGGGUAGCAUCACUCCCUACCCCAAAUACAAAGCGUGAUACAAAUAAGUAAAUACAAGUAAAUAAAUGAAAAUAAAUAAACCAUCCAUCACAUACAUGAAGAAUGAGGAAUGAAUACGAGUAUGAAAUCCAAAAGAUCCUAAAAGAGAAAUGCAAACUAAAUCAUCUAAAUGCAAUAUGCUAAAAAGGGUUAGGAAAGGAAAUUGUGAAUAAACCAAGUGCUCAGACUCACUAGUGAUUCCCAGUGGAGUCACCAAUUUGUCGCGUCCUAUUCUUGAAAUACAAGGAAAGGUGUUUUUGAAAAAAUGAGUUUUUUUUUUAUUUUAGAAAAUGCAGAAAAAUGCCUAAAAUGGGACUUAAAAAAUGUGAUGGUUUUGGCCUAAAAUAAUAGUCUAAAAAAGGGAUUUUAGAAAAGGAGAGUCUCUACUUGGUAUCGAGUUUAGGUAGACCAAAUCACCCAAAAAUGUUUUAAAAAAUAAAGACAAAUAAAAUCAUUUUAAACGACUCCAGAUUUUUGAAAAUGAGAGAAAAGAUUCGGGAGUCACGGUUGAAGAAAGAGAAGGUAAAGAUUUGAUUGAUUCAAAUCUAAGACACUCUUUCAAUCUAACCAAAGUUAGUUCGAGAUUAAGUCAAAAAUUUUUCUAAUCUAACCUCUAAAUUUAUUACACUCUAAUGCUUCCAUAUGGAUGCAAAUUUAGACUUAAAGGAUAUCGGGAGGAACGAAAUGUCUCUUCAAAAUUUAGUUAGUAUCAAUCAUAUUAAUUAUGAAAUUCAAGAAUGAUCCCUUAAAGAGGUCACAAAAAUGCGAAAGAUGAGAUUCAAAGAAAAGAAAAUUAUGAUAGAUAGAUAAAUAUACAUGACCUAAAAUAGAGAAAUGCAACAUAACGGGUAUGAAAAAUAAAAAUUUGUGACACAAUUUUCCUUUUUAUAGAGGGGUAAUAGCGUGUUAAGGUUAAGAAGUCAUACUUGCCUAUUUUUUAUAUUCAAAAGAUGACUCUUCUAACCUAAAUAAGCAAAUGGACUAACUUAUUUUCUAAUUUGCCAAAUGAAAUACAAGCCUAAAUAACAUGACUUGCACACAUAGGGAUAAGGGAAUAAUAUAAGAGGCCGUACCAUGCAAAUGAAAAUAAUUUAAAAUAAAAAAAUUUAUAUGAAAUGCAAUAAAUUUCAUACCAAAGUAUGAAUCUAGCGCAUAAAUGGUCUAACGGUCUAACAUUAGAUAAGCCCAUUUGUACAAGUUUUCAUUAGCGUUGGAUUAGGAAAAAAUUGGGAUGAAAAGCCACAACUAAUAUUGAACUAGUAUGUUGACAUCAUGCACUUAUUAUAAAUAAAUAGAGCAUAUAGAGCAUAAUCAAAAUAAAUAAAUACAUAGAACACGCAGAGCAUGUAGUGCUCAUAGCACAUAGACAUAAUAUCUAAAUGUAAAAUCCUAAGAAAAGCAAAUAAAACACAUAAGCACAUAGCUACACAAGUACAUAAGACCUAACUAUUACAUUGGGAGUUCUAACUACAAUCUAAAAGGGGAAUAUAAGAUAAUAAAUCUAUUUAACAUAUCUAUUACACUUAUCUAAUUAAUUACAUUUCUUGCAUUGCACAAGAGGAUACAACCUAUAUAUUACAAUUUGGGCAUUUAUAUACCCUCCAAAUAAUCAUAAGAUUUAAAUUAAACAAACAUGAAAAAAUUAAAAUAAAUAAAAGAAAAACACGUGAAACAUAUAAACACAUAGGAGCACAUAGAACGAAUUUAAAGAAUAAUAUGUAUACCUCUCUUUUAAAGUAGUGAUUAUGUGAAAGGAAGGGAGAGUUGUCUAUUUUUUUCAAAAUCAACAAGGGGUCAAUGUAUCAAUUUAAUUGACAAUUAAUUAUUAAAGAUAAAGAAACUUAAUCUAAUAAAUUAACAUUCCAAGCAAUGCAUGAAGAAUCAAAGAGCCAAGGAGAACCUUAAUAAUAAAAUCAACAAAGAUUCUUAGGGACUAAAAUGAGAAAAUUAAAAGUUUUUGGGGCACAAGUAUGAAUUUAUUAAACAUUGAGGCUAAAAUGCAAAUUCUGCAAAAGUAAUUUUUUAGUACUCUAUUAUUCAUAAUAUAAUCAGAUUGAACUAAUUAACCACUAAAAAAUAGUUUGAGCCAUCGAACAAAAACUAUUUGCAUUAAUUUCUAAAGUUGCCAAAUUGAAACUUUAAAUUGAACAAAUUUAUUUAAACCCUAAUUGUAGUUAAAAAACCAUGAAUUAGUUCACCAACAUAUGCAUGAGACAUCGUAAAGAGAGAUCAAAACUCUAAAAGGAAGAAAUUUAUCCAUUUCCACAAUUUUUGGGCCAUAGUAUAAGUAUGCAAACAUUAGGGAGCAAAUUGCAAAUGCUUCUUGUAGAUUUCGGUAUAAAUCAGUGAAUAUAAUGGCGCAACAAAAUUUUUCAGAAAAAUUAAAGUCUAAAAUAACAUGUUCAAAAAGAAAAAUAAAGAAAAGAGCUUUGGUUCUUAUGCUUUAACACAAUCUUUAGCAUGACAAAUUUGGACAAAUGAACUGUCUCUUAACCCAAACAAGGCUACCUAAGUAACUUGAACAAAAUGCAUGAAGUUUACAUGAAAUGAACUAACAAGCCCAAUCCAAAAUACCUCAACCUUAAAUCCUAACAAAGUUACCCAAUUCAAACUAACCAAACCCACUUUUCAGCCCAUGAUCAAUUUUACAAACAAAACAAGGAACAACAAUAAGUGAGCCCAAGAUAGGAAUGUUCAUUAGCCCAUGUUAUGAUCUAAAAUCGACCCAACCAAUAUAAUAACUAUUUAGAUUAUAAAUGAAGCAAAACAAGAAAAAAAAACAAAACAAAACGAAAAAAAAAUGAAGGAAAUAGAGGCAAAGUGCCACAGAUUGAAGAAGCAAUGGUUGACUUCAAGUCAAAUGUAUAGGUUUUGUUAUCUGGUUCUUCAAUGAAGUUAGCGGGACUUUUACAAGACUUCCGGCCAAAUAGCUGGAAUCUUUGCCGGAAAAAUAUUUCCAUGAUUUUAUAGUUCAACUAUUUACAUCUACUAACUUUUUUCAUCAUUCUAAACACAUUUGUAACAUCAAAAUCACCUUGGAAGCAUUGUAUUUUUGUACAAAAAGAAACAAUGUUCAAGAAAAUACAACAAAAACCCACAUCUCAACUUUCUACUUUUCAUAAAGAAAACUCAACAAAACUUCAUAAAAGUUUAUAGCAAUGCCCUACAUGGAUCUAAAAGGGAAAGUAACAUGACAAAAUCAUAAACCAAAACAUCCCAAAAGGAAUCACUAUUUUCAACUAAGAAAUGGAAGCAAAAAUUUUUUUUUUUUUAAAAAAGUAGACAAAUAUAAUAUAAAGCAAAAGAAAAUUAUCAAGUGAGGUUACCUACAACUCCUCUAAAGGUUUCGAGUUAAAAUAAACCGUGAUGGAUCAAUGGAAUUCAAGAUUCGUGAAGUUCCUUUUUGUUGAAAUAAAAAGUUUCGAGUUUCAAGAAAUGGUGAAUGCGCAAAUUUGAGUGACAAUUUCACAGCCAUAGAGUGGGAUUUAAAAUUGGGAUUGAAAUUUGAAACUCUUUUUGAAAUCAACACACUUGCUACAGAAGUGGCUAACUCUUGAAACAAUCAGGGAGUGAAUUCGAAAUUGAUAGGGAUUUGGAAUUUGAAAAACCAAGGAAUUGGAACUUGCUUUGAAAUUUAUAAGCUUAAUACGGAAGCGGCACUUGCUAUGAAAGUGACUAACUUUAUUGAAAUUUAAAAAAUUAGGGGUUGCAAUUUGAAACUUGAAUGUCAUGGGGCUAAUACUAAAAACAAUGCAAUUGAGCUAUAUGUGAUGAGAAAAUUCUAACAUUUUUUUAAGAGAAAAUUCAGGGUCUCUUCUUCUUCUUCUUCUUUUUUUUUCUCUUUUUUUUUUUAAGAAGUUAAACGGACUACAUGAAAUGCAAUCAAAUUAAUGUGAAAAUACCUCUACCCAACAAUGACCUGAGGUUCCCACCCGCUUGAUGGUCUGUUGCUUGCUUUGAACUUUAGACUUUGAGUUUCAAAAUUCAAUCAUCCUUUAUUGAAAAAUCACUUUUAGAUUUCCAAUUGCUUUGUAGUUUGUUGCUUCAGGUCUCAUAUUUGAAUUUGAAGGUUGAGUCAUCCAGCAAAAUCACAAAACACGGGGGGAUAUCAUGCACAUAUAAAAUUGAAUCAAUUGAUUCUGAGCAAGUUCCCAAGGUCGAAUCAAAAUUCUACCCUAGUUUCUGACUUUUGCACCAUAUACUUCUAAAUUUGAUUGACUUCAAAUAGCUACAUACAGCUAGUCUCAAUUGAUCCAAACCACUGAUCCAAGUAGGACUACUGCCACCUGAUUUGGUUCAAGGUCUCAAGAUUACCCCAAAAUUGAAUCCAUUCACGUUUUGCCCUAGUUUCUGGAUUUGAGCAUUGCAAAGUGAACCUUUUGAUGAUUCAAAAAUAACUCUCAUUUCAGGUUCAUUGAAUUUCAAUUAUUAUCUUCGCUGCUCUAAUUGCUAAAGCAACCCAAUUAUUCCCCUAACAAUUUCAUAUAAAAGGUCUCACAGAUUCUUGGAAAUUCCCAGUUCACUUCGAGAUCCGGCAUAAAUAUGUCAGGACAAAGAACAGUGGCAUGAAUAGCAAUCUCCCCCGUUACGAAGAAGUAAGCCCCGUUAUCAUUAAAAAACAUCUCAGAGACAGAUAUUGCUGAAGAUGGUUACAUUUCUUGCCACACUGCCAUCUACAGCAAUGAUGCAUCCAAAACUAUGAGGAGAGCAAGUUUUAAGGACAAAGCAUGAUACUUUUGCUAGGCCAUAACUAUAAUCUAAUUGUUUUGAUGAUUAUUGUGCAAGCUUAAGUGCAAGAUUAAGCUUCUAAUCCUACUUGGAUUUAUGGAUUGGAAAACUUUCGAUUACAUUUGCAGAAUAAAAGUUGUGUUAAAUUGACAAGGGCUAAUUUUGUGAUCUUUUUGAAGGUGUUUUAUAUUGUUUUUUAGUCAAUUUGUGAAGUUAAUUGGUAUAAGUUGCUCAUUUUGGUCUCUACUUUGCACUUGAGUUGAUAGAUGAAUUAAUUGUGAUUUUGUCAUUUUACUCACAAAGUAAAGAAUCACAUGCCCAACAUAAACCAUGGAAGAAUCACUCAAGGGAUUAUGCACAAUCCCUCCAAGGUUUCUUCGAAACCCUCGAAGGUCUAGUGACUGUUGCAAGUUGACAACUUGCUUGACUUUUUGUUUCUUUCUCCAUGCUUAAUGUGACAAAAAGAAACGAUUUGUAUAGUCUUUCGGGGUUCUAGGAGGCUAUUUUCUUGACUCCUGGACAAGGAGAAACAUUAUUAUUGAAGGAAAUAAUUUAGUUCUUGGAAAAAGAGCUUUUCUUUCUAGCUUAGAGUAGUAUAGUUACAGCUAUAGUUUUCAUUUUUGUUGAAGAAACUUGAAGAACUCUUGAUUUAACAAUGUAAUUUUGAUAGCAAUGAAGAUUAUGAAGUUUAGAGAUCUUGUUUCUUCACUUGAAUGAGCAUUUCUUCCUUUUUACUUUUUUUGUUAUUUCAUUAAUGCUUAGUUACAUUGAAAAUAUGAGAUUUAUUGUUAACUCUACUAUGUCUAAUUAAAUCUUCCUAUUCUAGUGAUAGUUGAACUUAAUUGUGCCUCAGUUAAGGUUGAAUAAAGUUAAUUAUUGUUAUAUCUUGUGUUUGCUAGCUCACCUAUUCUUACUUUAACACUUGUGAAUACUUGAUCACUAUUUGCAAACCAUGAUAGUUGUUGUUACUUUAUAAAAGUAGUUGACAAUGAUGGAAAUGGAAUGGGUGGAACCUCAGGACUAGACACAUGAAAGUAGAGAUACACUAAGUGAUAAUUGACCAUUUCAUUCAUAGUCAGGUGCAUUUGAUGGAUUCUAUAUCCUAGAAUAAUUGUGUUUAGUUGAGUUUUUUCAAGUUGUUAAAUUUUCUUGCAUUGUUUUAGCAUUAUGGUUGUUUUACUUAAUUAAAAUCCUUGAUUAGUCUAGAUAAUUGAGUUAACUAAAAACCUUAGUAGUUGGAAGUAAUUCUCAAGGGAUCAAUCCUAAUUCCUUUAUACUAUAAACCACAACUUGUCUACUUACAGUUCACGAGGGUUUAGCUUUAAAAUUUAAAGCGUAGAUUUGAACCUCAUCAUUAAUUAAUGACUCAACUUUCUUCGGAUUACAUUUUCCGGAUAAAAGUUAUUAAGUGAAGCUUGUACGUACAUAUGAAAUCUUAAUUUGACUUAUUUAGUUUAGAUUUAAAUAAGGGAAAGAAGCGUUCAAAACAUCCUUCAUAUUUUGUCAAAUGAAUUUUUUCAUCUCUCACUUUAAAAUGUUGAUUUUACAUCCAAAACAAAAUUAGGUUUGCCAAAUUUUGUCCCAACAUAAGUUUCCAACCAAAUUUUAGCCUGAAUCCAUUACAUGACCUAUAUGUGGUUAUUUUCUUUAGGCACAAAAAGGUCAGAUAUGUGCAAAACAAGCACAUGGGCUUGAGCACAAAAUUUCGAGUCCAAAGACAAUAUUGAAAAUUAGUAAAAAAAAAAAAACCCAAAAUUGCCAAUUUAAUUAAUUUGGAAUUUUAAGGGUAUAGCUUAAAAAAUUUUAAAAUGUGCAAACAUUUUGAAAAGUAAUAACCAUGAUUGAGCCAAAUUAUAGGAGUAGAAAAAUAGAAAAUUUGGAGGAAUAUUGAAAUCCUAGUUAAGAAGCUAGCAUUACAAGGAGGAACAAAAAACCGAAUUAAUUAAUGACUCAAAAUCACAGAAAAAAAUAACAGAAAAUCUUUAGUUCAGGAAAUUCCAAAUAAGUGAAAAUAAGAAGAGGGUAGUUGGCAAUUUCGAACUAUUAACAAUUGACAACAACAACAACAACAACAACGAAAUAGCUCUUGCUUAAGAGUACCUUUUUAAGUUUUGUUUCUUUUUUCUGUUUUCAGUUCUUUGGCCGUGUUUUCCGUAAUUUAUUGUGAUAAUAAGAAAACCGUAUACGAAAUAACUCUUGCUUAAGUGUACCUAUUUUAGUUUUGUUUCUUUUUUCUGUUUUCAGUUCUUUGACAGUGUUAUCCGUAAUUUGUUAUGCAUUGCACUUUUGUACAUUCUCCAAUUAUUUUCUCCUAUAACACACUCACUUAUGGUAUAAGAAGAUUUUUAUUCCUUUUGACUGCAUUUAGUAAAUCUUAAUGUGCAGUCGUUUGAGUGCAAAACUAAAGCAAGCAUUUUCCUCUUUGGCAACGAAAGAAGUCACCGACAGAAUUACUGGAUACUGCAUUCACAUUCAUUGUCCAAACUAAGAGCAUAUAAUUAUGUGGCACUAAAACCAUUCACUUCAUAAGGAUUUCAUUCCCUCCUCUUUUUACAUUGACACCAUAUCCAACAGAAAUGGCUUCCUUUCAUUUUCAGGUUCAUCGGAAUCAUCUCUUGCUCAUAACCCUGCUCCUAACUCUAGUGAAAAAUCCAUCAUUCAGUGUCAAACCAGACGAUCCUACUUUUCAGUUGAUCGUCAAAAUUUGUGACCAAAUUCCAGAAACGCUGUUCUGUAUAGACGUCUUAAAACAAAAUCUAUCUAGUCCAUCAACAGAUGCUUGAACUUUUGUUGAAAUAUCGAUCAAUCAAGUGCUGGCAAACGUUACCAAUACUUUAAGUGCUGUAAGGCAAGCAAAAGCUAGUGCAAGUAAGGAGGUUGCAGACCUUCUUACAAUUUGUGAAGAGGGUUAUACCGUUGUAUCUUCUUCAUAUAAUGAUGCCUUGCAGGCACUUGCCAUAAACGAUAGUGCUUCUGUGUUCUUGGAUGAAGAACAGUCCGAAAGGCCUAUAAAUGACUGCACAAAUAUCAUUAAUCCUGUGCUGCCUCAGUUUGAAAAAUACAACGCCCAAAAUCUAGCACUUCAGAGGAUCUCAGUUGCUGCUGCUGAUAUAUAUUUCCAGCGACCACCUAAGUCUUGGGGCCUGCAAAAGUUGAGUCCUCGGGCUUUUGAAGGACGUAUAUAGCUUUGAGACUGGCGUUAGAUUAGAUACAUAUUUUAAUUCAUUUCUAUCCUGUUUACUUGUUUCUUUCACUAGUUUGAAACUCGGACCAGACACCGUCUCGGUCAAGCGAGUCGAUGCGUUCAACCAAUAAGGUUGGGUUCAAAAACGGAAGAACUUAAUGAUGUAAUAAUGAAAUCAUAAAUAUAUAUUAAUUCUAAAUAAAAAAAUAAUAUAAAAAAACUACCUUUGAAUCUGGCAGACUUAAUGAGUUUUAUAACUAAAGUAGUGGCAUAGUUAAAAUUUGUUCCAGCGGAACAAAAUAUAAAAUAAAGUUGAUUUAGUUCUAUUAAUAGGAAUGCUAGCUCAUCUAUUCUUAAUUUAACACUUGUAAAUGCUUGAUCACCAAUUGUAAACCGUGUCAGUUGUUGUUAAUUUAUGAAAGUAGCAGACAAUGAUGGAAAUGGAAUAGGUGGAACCUAAGGACUAGGCACAUGAAAGUAGUGGUAUACUUACUGAUAAUUGACCAUUUCAUCUAUAACUAGGAGCAUUUAGUGGAUUCUAUACCCUAGAAUAGUUGUGUUUAGUUGAGUUUUUUCAAGUUGUUAAUUUUUCUUGCAUCGUUUUGUUGGUUCUGAGUUAAAAUAAUUAUAUAAUUAACAAUAAUUUCUCCAAUCAAAUUUAACAAAGGAACUAACAAAAAUCUCAUACAUCAAUAUUGCAUUAAUAAAUGCAAAUAAUUUGUACAAUCAAAAGUUAAUUUGGCAUGGGUUGAGGUGCAAAUUAGGUCUUAAAAUUGUUGGAGGAGAGUACAAGAACAAUUUCUGGUCUUCAAACUAACCAUCUUGAAUCUGACAGUUACUAAGAAGUUUGGUAGGGUUAAGACACGUAGAAUAUUCUCUUUAAGACAAUAUAUGCCUCUAUAAUAUUGUUUUUAAUUGAUGCAGAAGUUCUAGCGUGCUGCCUUCAGGAUACAACAGCCCAACUCUAUGGUUGUUGUUUCCCUUUGACUUGCACAACCAAGAAAAGCAGAAGCUUCCCAAUAUCUUAUUUAGCCCAAAGAAAAUCAAAAUGAAGGAGAAAGAAAUGACUGUAGGGAAAAAUAGUAUUUAGAAUAAUCUUUUGUUGAGAAAAGUGUAUAUAUAAAAAAUUCUCCAAAAACUUCACUAUUUAUAGGCUACACAAACUUUUAGAAAAUAAGUUGAACAUCCGAGUUCAAUGUAUAAUGAUAAGUGCAUAUUUUACAUGUUUUUAAGUGUGUUUUCUUAUUUAAUUUUGUUGUGUUUUUGUCAUUUUUAUAGCUAAUUAGUUAGGAUUUUUAUUAAAAAUAUGUAUUUGGUGGUUAAAAUGUGAAAAUUACAUUUUUAUGGAUUUUAAUAGUGAAAACUUCAUGUUUUUGGUAGGUUUAAUGAUUUAAUCAUCAAAUGGAGAGAAUUGAGAAGAUAAUUGGAUUAUUAUUGAUGAUUUGAAGCUAUAAAAAGAAUUCAAGGGAAGAAAUGCAAGUUUUCCAACUUUGACAUCUUAUGGUAUUUCGGUUAUAUCUUGAGUUACAAUGAUCGGAUUAAGGUGAUUCUCAUACCAUUUUGAAGCUAAGAUAGAUGUACAUUUGGUAAGAAGAAUCGAAGUCCAUUUCAGUCAUUUUCAUUGUCAAAAAGUAAAAAUAUAGAAGUGCAUUUGCAUGGUAGAAAGCUGAAAUAAAGCUCUGACCAGUCAAGAGUAUUUUAGUUAUUUCUCAGUUUGAAUUCUUGAAGCAUUGGAAAUUUAACUCAAAGGGCUACAACUUUCUUAUUUUCCACAAAAGCUAGUUCGGCCUCCAUCAUUGAGAAAAUAUUAGUUGAAGUGGAGCUAAAUUCGCAGAGGUGAAAACACGAGAUGGCAAUACGCGACCUUAAGUCGCGUAUUCCUGAGGUCACGUAUUGUAGCCUACUUUUUGGAACUUGCUUUGCCACUUGCUCUGUUUUCACACUACUUUCCAACUCUACUUCUGCACAAAAUUUUGGCUGCACAUGCUUAAAAUUCCAACUCAAAAUUCCAAAAGGAAGAGCAAAGAAGCUUUAUGUCUUGUCUAAAAAACCACUUUUUGACUCUCUUAACACUAAGUAUGUAAGAAUCAAUAGAAAAGAGGAGAGGCGAGAUUAGAACCAAUUAUUAUCAUAUUUUAGUAUUAGAGCUUAGUUCAAGUCUUGUUUUAUUCUCUCUAAUUAGAAUAUUGUGAUAACAAUUGGAGACUUCACUGUACUACUUAUUUUGUUAAAGAAAUAGAAGAUUAUUGCGAGCUUCUUACCCAUUUGGCUAAGCUUUCUUUAUCUACCUUAUACUUGUGAUUCAAUAUGUAUUCAUGCAAUGAAACUAUGUUCUUUCUUGCCAUAUUUCAUAUGAGUAGCUAAAUUUUUAGAUCUAGGGAGUAGAUGAAACUUAUGGCUAUUUGAUAUGAAGUGGAUAUGAUUUACACUUGUUACACCUUGUAUUAACUUGUUUAUUUAUGCAUGCUUAUCACUUAUUGUUACUUGAUCACCAAUAACAAGCUUUUAUUAUUCAAUGAAAGUGGGUAAUAAUAAUGGAACAACAUAAAUAGAGUUUAAGUAGUAUACUCAUGAGAAUAGAAAUACACUUAAGUGGAUUAACCAUGCAUUUCAUGAAGAAAACAAGAGUAGAGCUAGUUAUUUACCAUGAGAAUAGGGGGAACUAGUCUAGUCUAGGCCAUUUCAUCAUGAGAAUGAGAUUUGAUAAUAUUAGAAAUGAAUCCCUAGUUAAACAAGAGUUGUAACAAGUGGUAAAUCUAUUUAUUUGCAUCUUUUAUGCCAUAAGUGGAAUCUACAUCCCUAGACUCAAGUAUCUAUUGAAUUUUCUCCAUUGUUACCUUGCAUGUUAUCUAGUUAAGAUUAGUUAGAUAGUAGUAAUUACAACUUCUCUUACUUUAAUUGAUUAUUAGUCUAAAUAAUAGAGUAAGUAAGGUCUUAGUACUUAUAAAGUUGCUUUCUGUAGGAUCGACCCGAUUUAUAUCCUAAAAUACUAGUUGACCUGUAUACUAGCCGCAAAACGAGUAUGAUUUGGAAUUAAUUUGUACUCAUAUUUAAAAACCCGUCAUAUAACAGUUUUUCAUACUAUAUUGUUGACGGGUAUUUUACAUACGUACAAGUUAAAAAACCGAAUUACACCCGUUCACUGCAAGUAUACAGAUCAACAAGUAGUUUAGGGUAUAUAUCGGGUCGAUCCCACAGGGAAGAGUGAACAAUUACCGGUAUUACUAAAGCUUCUCUAUUAUUUAGACUAUCAAUGAAUUAUAACAAAUUUAACCUAUUGAAAUUAUACAAAAUAACAAAUAAAAGCUCCUUAGGUUGUGGUAUCCCUAACUACUCAUGCAAGUGCUAUAUUUGGAUCAUUGAGUAUUACAUCUAGACUAGUUAUGGUGUAAUUUCCUUAAACAUGUGAAAUCUACUUUCAUAGUGAAUUAACCAUACUCAUAACUAAUCCAUACCUAUUUUCAUGGUUAUGAAAUGAGCUACAAGUUCAUUUUUUCAGUAAAAUUACAUGAAAUGAAUCACUAAAAACCACAUAAGUGCACCUCUACUUUCGUGAGUGUACUCCCUAUGUUUAGCACUUCUUGAACUAGUGUUAAAUCUCAAUUUUCAUUGCAGAAACAACACCUUAGAUAAUCACAAUCAAUGGUACCAGAUUAAUCAUGAUUUAAAGAGCCAAAGUGCUAAAUAACUUGCUCAAAUCAUAGCAACCAAAUAACCAAAUAAUAAACACUAACAAUUAUAGAAAGUUCAACCAAACCCAAGGCAUAAACUUUAGAGACACAUAUUGAACACAAAAUCCAGAACUUGUAUAUUAACUAAACUUGGAAUCAAGUACAAAAGAUAAAGAGUUUGGAAGGAAUGUAACCCUUGUCACAUGAGUUCAUCUCCUUGCCUUCUUCAUCCUCCAUUUUCAUCUUUGCCUAGCUAAUAAAUAAGAAUGGAUGAACUACUAGCUAAACUAUCCUACACUAAGAAGAAUGGCAGAGCUACAUUUUUACAGACCAAGCUUUCUCCCGUAUCUCUCUCUAUCUCCCUAUGUUUUGCAAUGAAUUUGGCUAUUUAAUGAUGAAAGUUAAGGUUGUUCAAGAAAUAAGGUUUUUAACUCCCUUUUACAGCUGGAAAUGUUUCUCACAUGUCUAGCAUCACAUGCGAGUUGGUGGAGUUGAAAAUAAGCUUUCCGUGUAAAGAACAGCCUUCUCUGACCACAAUCCGGCUAGAAAUCCGGCCAAAUUCCGGCUGGGUUGCUACAGUGACCAUUUGGUCACUUCUGGUUCAAUUUUCAGCUCUGCUCCAAUUUUGACUCAACUUCAACUGAACUUUUAUUGAUGAUAAAAGCUGAUUUAGCUCUUAACCAAAACAUGAAAGUUGUAGCCCUUUGAGUUAGAUUUCCAAUGCAUCAAGAAUCACCUCAUUUGGAUUUGUGUGGGCUGAUAAAUAACCGAAAUACCCUUGCCUACUCAUUGCCCUGUUCCAGCUUUGACUAUAGAAAAGUAGCCACUGUAAUUCGGCUUUUUGACUUGGAAAACUUUCAAACUGGAUUCAAAUGUUUUCACCAAAAUUGUAGAUCUAUCUCUUAUCUUUAAAUUGGUUCAAGAAUCAUCUCAAUCCGAUCACUGUAACUCAAGUUAUAGCCUAAAUACGAAAAUGUGUCAAAACUGUCAAAAUACACAAAAUCCCACUAAAAAGUGAUAAAAACCUCAUUUAAUCACUUAAAAGCAUUUUUCACCAAUUAUAGCCAAAAUGAUUCAUUUUCUUCCAAUAAUAUAACUAAAGUGACUAAAAAUAAUAUAAAAUAUCAUACAAUUAUUACGUAAAUUAGUCACUUAUCAAUUGUAGUUAAUUUAUAGAAUUUGUAACCUAAAAAUUGAUUCAUAUUUGAAUGGCUUAUAAAAACUCAAUAUUUCUUCAUUUGACCAAAUAAUUCAUUUGUAACUCCUUUUCAAAUAAUUGUACAAUAACUCCAUUCAAAAUGCAUUGUAACUCACAACAUUAUAAUUUCCAUAACUCCCAAAUAAAUUGUUAUAACUCUUUGUAAUGAUUUGGUCAAAGAAAAUUUAAGAUUUUAUUAAAAUGUACUAACAUGUUUUAGCAUUGUGGUGGUUUUACUUAGUUAAAAUUCUUGAUUAGUCUAGAUAAUCGAGUUAACUAAAAACCUUAGUAGUUGGAAGUAAUUCUCGUGGGAUCGAUUCUAGUUCCUCUACACUACAAAUUAUGACCUAUAUACUUACAGUUCACGAGGGUUUAGGCUUUGAAAGUUAAAGCAUAGGUCUGAACCUCGUCAUCAAUUAAUGACUCAACUUUCUUUGGAUUACAUUUUUUGGAUAAAAGUUAUUAAGUGAAGCUUGUAUAUAUGAAAUCUUAAUUUGAUUUAUUUAGUUUAGAUUUAAAUAAGGGAAAAAUUGUUCAAAACAUCUUUCAUAUUUUGUCAAAUGAUUUUUUCAUCUCUCACUUUAAAAUGUUGAUUUUACAUCCAUAACAAAAUUAGGUUUGCCAAAUUUAGUCCCAACCUAGUUUUCCAACCAAAUUUUAGCCUGAUUCCAUUACGUGACCCACAUGUAGUUUUUUGUUUUUAGGCGCAAAAAGGUCAGAUAUGUGCAAAACAAGCACAUGAGCUUGAGCACAAAAUUUUGAGUUGAAAGACAAUAUUGACAAUUAGUAAAAAAAAAAGAAAGAGCAAAAUUACCAAUUUAUUUAAUUUGGAAUUUUAAGGAUGUAACUCCAAAAUUUAAAAAUUUACAAAAAUUUUGAAAAGUAAUAACCAUGAGGGAGCCAAAUUAUAGGAGUAGAAAAAUAGAAAAUUUGGAGGAAUAUUAGAAAUCCUAAUUAAGAAGCUAGCAUUACAAGGAGGAACAAAAAACCAAAUUAAUUAAUGACUCAAAAUUACAAAAAAAAAAAAGAAAAGAUAACAGAAUAUCUUUAGUUCAGAAAUCCCAAAUAAGUGAAAAUAAGAAGAGGUAGUUGGUAAUUUCAAAGUAUUAACAAUUGAUCCACCUUCCUUUGUCGUGUACCAUAAUAAUAAAAAAAAUUGUAUACGAAAUAGCUCUUGCUUAAGAGUACAUUUUUAAGUUCUGUUUAUUUUUUCUCGGAAAAGUCUGAAGUAACGAUCGUUAUGGUAACGAAACUGUUUUUAUCUAAUAUGAUAGGCAAAAACACUUUUAACGACCAUUUGAUUAUCUGUUGGACCGGUCAUCUAAACAAGACAAUGCCUAAAAGUUUGGCUAGUAAAUUUCGCAUUAAAAAUAGUAAGUUAACCCCAUAAAUUAGUAACUUUUAUGUCUCAAAAAGCAAAUCAAAAAAAAAUUGAAAGUUACUUUUCAAAAAAAAAUUAAUUACUACUUUAUAUUCGAAACAUAUUUUUUGGAGAGUAAGUUUAGUUCAAGUAAUAGUAAGUUUUUAUAGAUUAAUAGUAAAUCUUAUUGAUAGAAUAGUAAAUUUAGUUAAUGUCAAAAGUUACUAGUUUGUGGCAUAAAUGUACUAUUUUACUUAAAGAAACUUAUAUGAAACAAGUAUUAGGAAGUUUAUUUAAAAUAAUGCUAAGAUUUUUUUAUUAAUGAUUGAAACUUAAUAUUAUAGUUAGUAAUUGCUGGUAACGUAAAUGUAUAAUACUUGAUUGUAUGCAUCAUUCAUAAAUGUUAUGUGUUUUAAGCAUUUUAAUAAAUGUAUGUAUCAUUUAUAAAUGUUAUGUGUUUUAAUAAAUUUAUUUUCUAGGCCACAAGUAUAAAAGUUAAAGUUGUACUACUGUAGCAUAAUCUUUGAAAAUUAUAGUAAAUUUACCCAUAUAUUAACUUUCAUGUGUUUCAAAUAUAUUUUAUAUCAUUUACAAUAUGGAUUUAUAUGCACUUCUUUUUAUCAAACUUAUUUUUAAUUGGCAAAUAGUAUGUAAAUUAUUAUAAAAUGUCAUUUUAUAAUAAUCAUAAAUUUUAAAGGUGAAUGGUAUAUAAACUGCUAAAAUUAUCAAUUUAUUAAUGAUUAAAUCUUACUACUUUAUGGCAUAUAUUAGUCUGAUCAACUAAAAAAUUACCGUAAUUAAGUAUAGGGUAAAAAAUAAAAAAACCCCCUGUGAUAAACCUAAUACACAGAAAAGCUAUCCAUGGUUUCAAAAUAUACAACACGACCCCUCAUGCUUUGAACUAAAUUGUAAAGGUGACGGAAUCCGUUAAACUUAACGGAAAUGAACAAAAUGACCAAAAUGCCUUAAUACAAUAAAGCAAAAGACAACUCAAAAAAAUCAUUUGUUUUAUUUUCUAAAUAGAGAGAAUUGAAGGUUAAGGGGUAGAAUAGGUAUAUUUGAUAAAAAUUAGGUAUAAAAAAUUUUUUUUAGGUUCCAAUAAGUCAUUUUCGUUAAAUUUAACAGAUUCCGUCACCUUUACAAUUUAGUUCAAAGCAUGAGGUGCCGUGUUAUAUAUUUUGAAACCAUAAGGGGCUUUUCUGUGUAUUAGGCUUACCACAAGGGGUUUUUUUGUUUUUUACCCUUAAGUAUACCUUGAUUGUUGAUUCGAAAUUUGCACCCCUGUCACUAUUUCGUUAUUACUACCACAAGUUUUUCUAAUCAAAGUAAAACAAAAUGAAAUAUCUUUUCCUUUUGUAUGCAGUAUUUAUUUUAGUAAAUAAUUAAUAAACCAUGAUUACAUUACAUAAUUUCUAAUGAAAUUAGUAACAUUUUCUAAAUAAAUUGGAAUAAUUUGUAAAAUAUGUUAUUUUUUUACUAAUAUAAUCAAAAGAAAUUUGCACUAUUAAAAAGCAAAUGGGAAGAAAGGACGAUGGCAUAAGUAUAAAUGUGAGCAACUAUAUAAAUAUCACACCAUGAGUUUAGGUUUGAUUUGUUUAAAACAUCGGUAACUUAUUCGUUGGUAGAUAUAAAAUGCAUAUUAUUUUUCUACAAAUGGAAUAUACAAUUUAAUAUAUACUAACCAUUAACAGAAUAUGUAGUUUGAACACGAUCAAUUGAGCUCAUAUUUCGUUUGUUUAGUUAUCAUUUAUUUUGUUACUUAGGUUGAAUAUUUACAUUUGAAUAGAGUAUUGCUAUCAGAACUUCAAUUAUUCUUAAUGACACUAAUUUUAUGCAGAUAAAAGUUCGUCUAGACAAUUAAGUGUCAAUGACAACAAUUGCUAAAAUAUGGUUUUUUAAAAUUUUUUGAAAAAUGACAAAAAAAUUACACUUUUUUUUAAAAUAUCAAAUUAUUAAUUCAAUUCAAAUUAAUUUUAUAAUAAAAAAAUUUUACUCCUUAAACAAGUUGCUUAAUCGGUAUCUAUGCCCAUACUAGUGUCAAAUGGAUAACUAAAAUAGGAAAUUGCAACAAUAAAUAAUGUUACGGGAAAGGUGCACAUAAGUAGGACUUUUGUUAAUUUUAACGCAAAAUUUCAAAAAAAAAAAAAAAGGAUAGGCUUUUUUGUGGUUUUGAAUUCAAAAGUGUUGUGGUUGUGAUAGAAUUCUUUGUUAAAAUUUGAAACGGUUGAGAAUUCCAGAGAUAAGUGACAAGGUGACUUUUAUUAGCCAUGAGUUUUCGUUUAAGUGGGAAAGGUCGAUGAACUAGGGCACGACUUUUUUUCUCACAUUUUCUUACAUUUCUCUUAUUACUCAACAGUAAAACAUGAACUUCAGUCUUUUUGUUUAAUCUUGAAUGUGAUUUUCAAUAUCCAUGAAACUCACUAGUUGAUACCUGGAAAAUAUCUCUUCGCCUGGUAAAGCUAUAUUUUACUAAUAACUACUUAUUUGGGUUGACAAUUUGUGAAUUACGGAUGAGCAACAAAUAAAUGAUGUAAGUAAAUUAAGCUGUGGGAUUUUAUGCUUGUAAGAUCUUUUUAUAUUUUAUUCCCUCUCAUAGGUAUGCUCUAUUAUAGGUGUUUUUUUUUUUAUAUUCACCAUAUUUAGUGAAUAUUUAUUGUUAGCUUUGCUAAAAGUUAUUUCCGUUCUAUUUCUUUGGAAUGGAAGCAAGGUGAAGCAAACAAACUCCUUUAAAGAUAGAAUGUUUUUUUUCUAAUGGAAAACUGAGGUUAGACUUGUAGUAUAAUUGAUGUCAUUCAUGGUAACGCACGUGCUAUGCAAUUGGAGUUUAAUAUUGAUUGACUUAGAAUUUAAUAUGGUAACGCACCCCAUAAAGAGUUUAAUAAUUGUUGUCGUAUCCGCAUGUUUCCUUAAUUUGCUGAUAAUAUUAUUGUGAUUACUUUUCCUUGAGUGACUAUUCAUUUGUAGUAUGGAAUCUUUUGAAAAUGGUAAUCUGUAAAUGAGUAAUUGUCCUAUCCCAUUUAUUGGAUUGCGGGUUCUGGUGCUGUGUUUUGGCAAACCUAUGUUUACUAUUGAUGGAUAGUUUAACUAUAAAUCAAUCAUUGAAAAAAUACCGUGAGAUCUCUAAUUUAAGCUCUAAUGCCAUUCUUGCUCAUGUGCUAGUCACUCUAGCAUUAAAAAUAAAGGCGGUCCUAUGGAUGAAGAAAUUGAUCCUAAAACCCGUCGCUCACCUGCUGCACGUAAAGAAGAAUCACUUGACACACUAUUUGGUCCUAAUCACCUGCUGCACGAUUUUUUUGCGGUGAAUAAUUUUAAAUGUCAUUGUAACUGUUAUCUUCACUUGCAUGGUUAACUCACUAAUUCUAUUAUGGUGUCAUGAAUUUUCAGUUUCAAUCCGGGAUUGAACAUUGCAAUGGAAUUGGUCCUACACCCUGAGAACCCAUGGGGAUUUCUUUUACAAGAUCAUUUGCAAAGAAGAUGAACAAUAAAAGUAUUCAUAGUUGGGAAAAAUUCUAAUUUAUCUUUGCUAUUUCUAGCUGAAUAACAAGUACUUAAUAAGGCAGAAGAACGUUUCAAGUCUUGUUGUCACUUUAUUUUAUGGUCCCUUAAUUUUGACGUGUACACAAAUUUGCCAUGGACUUCAGUCACAGCACUACUACUUGGUAGUAAGCUCAAAAUGCUCCUUUUAGUUUUGUCCGACAAAUUUAGCAUGCUUUUGUAAUCAAUAGUACGAGAUGCAAGCGUAUUAUUAAAGAUGCAAGGUACCAAACACCUCAUGGACUUGUAAAAGCCCCUUCCCUCUAAAUUUUGAUUAGCCAAAUAUCCAAGCAAGUACAAAUUGUAACAUCGCAUCAAAUCAGACAUAUAACAUCGCUUGACAUACAUAAAAUACAAAAGGAAAAAUUGUGAACAUAAAACAAGUAAACACAAGAAAUUGCAAACUAAGGAGAUUAUGUUCAGAUUUACAAUCAAAAUGCAUUAAACUACCUUCGAAGCGACUUAAAUCAUCCUAAAAUAUUUGAGCAAAGACGAACAAAAAAAUUUGUACCCUCUCGAGAAUAAAAUUCCUUAAUGGUCUUGGCUGAAAUCUGGUUUAUUCACUACAAAACCAUCACAAAAUUUGUUAUAAAAAUAAAGCCACAACAACACAUAAUCAUAGCAAAUAAGUGACAUAAAACUUAGGCGUGAAGAAGGAAAAAUGUACCUGAAUAUUUUCGUCUACUAACAAGCUAGUGUUUCGUACAUGACUAUGGAUUAAUGAAGGAUUGCAUGCCCACAUUAAUGCCUAUACAAAUGCAAAUACAGCACAAUUAUAUUUCAUGUCUUCACACAAAAAUAAAAGCAAGCUGUACAUUACCUGGCCAGGAGGAAUGAUCUGAAACCAAUUACUAUCCAUUAACUCCUUAUUGCAUCCAUGCUGUGAAUCUGAUUGCAAUAUGCCAUAGGAUGAUCCUAUCAGGUUCAAAUUUACAUUCUCAACAUAAUUGGGUGCUCCCAUGUGAUCAUGAUUGUGAGUUUCAUAUGCAUCUGUGCACACUUUAGUACAUUUUCGUCUAUCAUGUCCAAAUGACCUGCGAACAAAAAAUUGCCAAGCACAAUCCAAAAACAAAAAGAUUAAAUAUAUAAAGGAGUAUAUGAAGUGUAUAUAUAUAGCUAACAUUUUUGGCCUUCUAAAAUCAAGCCAAUGAGUGGAUCAAUUAAUUUCACAAAGCCCAAAAGUUUCACUUAGGGAAGAGGUGGUUUUCACUCCACUAAAAGGGUCUUUACCUACAAUUGGAAUCUAAGGGCCCAAUAGGAAUAAAAGAGGUACUGAUGUACAUAUAAUUGUUUGCCUAUUUCUUUUUGUUUCAUACGGCUAAUGCCACUUUGUACUUUUCAACCAUACUUAGAUUCCUACUUUAAUUUCUAAACUGAAAAUAAGACACUUUAAACUCUAUAUAUAAAAUUUACCCCUUUCGAGUAAAUUCGUUGACUAACAGAAGUGAGACAAGUUUUAUACUUAGGUAGAAGAAAUUUUGUACUUUAAGGACUAAAGUAAGACAGAUCGUAUAUCUUAGGAACUAAGGUGGGACCAGAUUUAUACUUUAGGAAUUAAAGUGUCCUAUUUUGAAAUUCAAAAAUCAAAGUGGAAAUUCGGUUCAUAGUUGAAGGAUGCAUCCACAGGUUUAAAUAAUUUAUUUAAUAGUUUUAUCAUCUGAUUUUUUCUUUUAGUCUUGAAGAAAUAGAAAUUACUGAACAAAUUAAUGCAGUCAAUUUGUCCUCUUAAAUUAUGCAUAAAAUCGAACUUUUGUAUGCCUAAUGAAAACACUACAUAGUUAGAAGUUAAAAUGCUUGUUGCUUUUGACAAAUAAAUUACUCUAUUGGGGUCGGUGGAUUUGAAUUCAAUAAAUUAUUCAGUUGAAUGGAUUUGAAAUUGUGAUCAAUUGAAAUACAUUGUUUGGCACAAAUAUAGUUCAAACUCUAAUUUAUUGUAUACUAAUAUUUUACACACCACAACCCCCCUUCCCAAAAAAAAAAUGAUAAAGUUGGCCGGCGUAACUGAAAUUCGUCAACUGUGGUUUUAAUCAAGUUGUUUGGUGCUUUCUAACUCCGUACAGGCAUCAAUCAUAUCAUACAAAUUUCUUUUUGACAUUGCACCAAACACCUUAUAUGGAUUCCCAAAUUAACCACUUUUCACAUAAACGCUGACUCACUACUAUGUUUCACAUAUAGUGUCUAAGUCAUUUCCCACAUAUUUUUCAACAAAAUAUUGACAACCAAAUCAAAAAGAUAAAGAAAUUAAAGCAAUAUAAUCAAGCGGUUUUCAAAAAACAUGAUGGUCUAACCUCUUGGCUGCUAUUUUUCAUCUGCUCUCUUGUCGGAUACCACCACCACAGCCCUAAUAAAAAUUUCAACCUUUUUGUUGGGUCUGCAUAUGCCAGCAUCCAAAACCGAUCGAUCAACAAGGAGAGAGGGAAAGUGUGGACUAAACAAGAAAAUUUUGCCAGGAAAAAAAUUUCUAUUCCAUCAUAUCGUGAAAUGAGAAGAAAAUAAAAAGAAGGCAAGAAACUUUAGAAAGACGUGAUAACCCAAAACCGUUUCAAAAACCAGUGAUUUUUUUACUUAAAUAUGUAAAUUUUUUACUUUUAAUAUUAGUAAGUUUAAUUUAAACAAAAGUAAAUUUUGUCAAAUAAUAAGUAAAUUAAAUUACUCAAAGUGUAAAUUUCUAUUUUUGACUAAAACUUACUCUUUCAAGCAUAUACUUACUAGUUUUAAUUAAAAACUUACUAACGUCAAUAUUAAUUAUUUUAAUAUAAUAUUUAAAAAGUCGCUAAAAACCUUGAUCUGUCACUAAAGGUAAUGAAACCUAUAAUAGUAGGUUUCCUAAUGUUGUUAUCAUAACUAUAGGCACUAUAGCAUUGUCCAUUUUUUCUGUUUUCUGUUCUUUGGCCGUGUUUUCUGUAAUUUUUUGUGAUAAUAAGAAAACCAUAUACGAAAUAGCUCUUGCUUAAGAGUACCUAUAUUAGUUUUGUUUCUUUCUUCUGUUUUCAGUUCUUUGACAGUGUUAUCCGUAAUUUGUUAUGCAUUGCACUUUUGUACAUUCUCCAAUUAUUUUCUCCUAUAACAUACUCACUUAUGGUAUAAGAAGAUUUUUAUUCCUUUUGACUGCAUUUAGUAAAUCUUAAUGUGCAUUCGUUUGAGUGCAAAACUAAAGCAAGCAUUUUCCUCUUUGGCAACGAAAGAAGUCACCGACAGAAUUACUGGAUACUGCAUUCACAUUCAUUGUCCAAACUAAAAGCAUAUAAUUAUGUGGCACUAAAACCAUUCACUUCAUAAAGAUUUCAUUCCUUCCUCUUUUUACAUUGAGAAUAUAUGCAACAGAAUUGGCUUCCUUUCAUUUUCAGGUUCAUCUGAAUCAUCUCUUGCUCAUAAUCCUGCUCCUAACUCUUGUGAAAAAACCAUCAUUCAGUGUUAGACCAGACAAUCCUACUUUUCAGUUGAUCAUCAAAAUUUGUGACCAAAUGCCAGAAACGCUGUUCUGUAUAGACGUCUUAAAACAAAAUCUAUCUAGUCCAUCAACAGAUGCUCGAACUUUUGUUGAAAUAUCGAUCAAUCAAGUAUUGACAAACGUUACCAAUACUUUAAGUGUUGUAAAAGAAGCAAAAUCUCAUGCAAGUAAGGAGGUUGCAGACCUUCUUACAAUUUGUGAAGAGGGUUAUACCGAAGUAUCUUCUUCGUACAAUGAUGCAUUUCGGGCACUUGCCAUCAAUGAUAGUUCUUCUGUGUUCUUGGAUGAAGAACAGUCCGAAAGGCCUAUAAAUGACUGCACAAAUAUCAUUAAUCCUGUGCUGCCUCAGUUUGAAAAAUAUAACGCCCAAAAUAUAGCACUUCAGAGGAUUUCAGUUGCUGCUGCUGCUAUAUAUUUCCAGCGACCACCUAGUCUUGGGGCCUGCAAAAGUUGAGUCCUCGGGCUUUUGAAGGACGUAUGUAACUUUGAGACUGGCGUUCGAUUAGAUAUAUAUUGUAAUUCAUUUCUAUCCUGUUCUCUUGUUUCUUCCACUGGUUUGAAACUCGGACCGGACAUCAUCUAGAUCAAGUGAGUCGAUGGGUUCAACCAAUAAGGUUGGGUUCAAAAACUGAAGAAUUUAAUGAUGUAAUAAUGACGUCAUAAAUAUAUUUUAAUUCUAAAUAAAAUAAAAUAGUAUUUAAAAAAAACUUCCUUUGAAUCUGGCAUACUUAAUGAGUUUUAUAGCUAAUAUAAAGUAGUGGCGCAGUUAAGAUAUUGUUCCAGCGGAACAAAAUAUAAAAUAAAGUUCAUUUAGUUCUAUUAAUACAAUUAGAUAAUAUAAGCCAAAUAUCAAGUAAAAAGAAGUAGAUCUAUAUGUAUUCACUAAAUAAAAUAAGAUGGUAUUAAACUUUCUUUAAUAUGUUCCAAAAUUAUGUUGUAUUGGAAAACUCACUAUUGGACUAAAUUUGUACUAAUAGAAUUAGGUUUGUAAAAAGUGUGGUUGUAAUUUUUACUUGAUUCUUCUACAGAGUUAUUAUCAAGUUAACUAAAGGCAAAUAUAUAUGUUUCCUUACUAUGAACUAUUGACGUGUAAAGAAAGUUUUUUUUUUAAGUCCACUGCUUAAAACGUAUAAUUUCUUUUUUCAAUAGAGGCACAUAUAUAAAUUUUUAGGUUUAAAACAAAAUUAUUAUUAAAUUUCUAUACCUAAAGUUCAAGGUUUUCUUUGACCUCGGGGGAAAAGUGCCCACCCCCCCCCCAAAACACCAAACAAAACUACCUUACAUGUUUGGGGGAAAAGGUGGAUGGCGACGACCAAGCAGUAUCCAGCAAGGGAAAAAUUUUACUGCAAAAGAAACUUUAAAAAGAAAAAAACCAAAAAAUUGAAGAAAACAUGAUUUUUUCAAUUUUCACCUUCAAUUGAAGUUUUGAUCAGUUUUGACUGAAUCAAAUACCUUUCGGGUUCUAAUGUUAAAUCAAACUGGUGACCUUGUUGGUUCUUGGUUUCAGUCGAACCAACUAGUUUAGCUCAAAUUUAAUAACACUAGCUUCUUACCCUUGCACUCUCUUAGCUUUCUCAUGAUUUGGAUUAAAGUGUCACAGUUAAUUUAUUCAUUAAAACUAAUGGUUAAUAGUAAAAAGUCAAAAUCAAACUAAUAAAUUGAUAAAUGUACCCUUGCACUACUUUUUUUCUUUUUUCCUUCUCUCUCUCUAUCUCUGUCUCUCCCUCUCUCGAAAGAGAAUAUAUGAUUUUGAAAACUUAUAUUUUGGUCUAUAAAGUUUUAAUUUUCUCCAAAUACAGAAGAGAUGGAAGGAAAAUAAAUAAUAAAUAAUAAUCCAAAAAGAUGGAAGAGAAAUAUAAAACUAAUAAAUAAGAAACAAAAAAUGCCAAAUAUUUUUUGGCUAUAAAUAUCAUUAUAGGUUUUUAAACCAAAUCUUUAAUGGCAUUUUCUAAUUCUUUUUUAUCUAUUUUUUUCAAUUUCUUCUUUUUUAUGUUUGGAGGAAAAAAAAAGAAAUAAUGAAAGGAUAAAUUUGUCAAUUUAUUAGUUUGACUUUGAUUUUUUACUAUUGAAAAAUUAAAAGUAACACUUUAAUUCAAACUAUGAGAGAAUUAAUAUAAACCAAGGGGGUUUAUGUAGUAAAGUAUCAAAUUACAGUGUGGUAAAAGAUAAUUUAUCAAAAAUUUAACAACUAAUACCUACGUGAAUUGUUACAAUGUUAUGAAAUAAUAAUAAGAUGUAGAUGUCCAUUGAUAUUCUCUAGAUGUGACUGUCCGUUGAUAUUCUCAAGAAGAAUUACAAGAUGAAAAUGUCCAUUUGUAUUUUCAAGAUAAUAGUCACAUGUAUUCUCCCUAGAUUCAUUGGUACAUUGGAUGAACUCAUUUAUGGAUGUACUUGAUGUACUAAAUUCAUGUAUUUGUAUUUAAUAGGGUUCAUGUACCUUUGAUCUUGGAUCACCUAUAUAUAGGGGUGUAUCCUACUUCAUUUGUAACCUUGAAACCUGGAAGUAUUUUGAUCAGUAAAUAUAAUAAUUCUAUCUCUCUCUUCUUCUGACUCUACUAUUCCAAUCCCUUCGUUAGUGGUGUAUUUUAUUAGUUUCACAACACGUUAUCAACACGAGUCUCUCCCUUGAGUUAAGGAAAAGUACGAGUCUCUACUUUGAGUGAAGGAAAGGAGCGAAGCAAAAGUGAAGCACGAGACAUGUCAAGAUUCUGCCCGAACAACUUUUGACUACUUAAAAUUUUUUCCUACAUAUCUAUUACAUAUUCUUAUGGCUAAUCUCACAAAACAAGAGUUCGUACCUCUUAAUAUUUCUGAAAAAAAUUAUUUAUCGUGGGUAUUGGAUAUUGAAAUUCAUCUUGAGGCAAUGGGUCUUGGUAAUACCAUUGUUGAUGAGAAUGAUGCCUCAAACCAAGACCGUGCUAAGGCCAUGAUUUUUCUUCGUCGUCAUUUAGAUGAAGGAUUAAAAGUAGAAUAUCUUACUGUCAAAGAUCCUCUUGUCCUUUGGCGAGAUUUGAAAGAAAGAUUCGAUCACCUGAAGUUGGUCAUUUUUCCAAAAGCCCGAUAUGAUUGGCUCCACUUACGACUACAAGAUUUCAAAUCUGUCGACGAAUAUCAUUCAGCUAUGUUUAGAAUUACUUCUCAAUUAUCAUUGUGUGGCGAAAAGGUCACUGAUGAAAAUAUGUUAGAAAAAACAUUCUCUAUUUUUCAUGUCUCUAAUAUGCUCCUGCAGCAGCAAUAUAGAGAGAAGGGAUUUAAGAAAUAUUCUGAACUUAUUGCAUGUCUCCUCUUGGCUGAACAAAAUAAUGAAUUAUUGCUGAAAAAUCACGAGUCCCGAUCAACUGGUGCAAGUCCAUUCCCUGAAGCGAAUGCGACUCAAUUUCAAAAUUCUGUUCGAGGUCGUGGACGUGGACGUGGCCAUAGAGGUGGCCGUGGAUGUGGCCGUGGCCGUGGACGUGAUCGUAGUAGAUUUAUGCCCCAUGAAAAUUAUCACCGUAGCAAGCAACAAAAUAUUUCUCAAGAGAGAGAAAAUGACUACAAUCCGAAAGAAGGAGAAAAGAAAGUUUAUGAAGAAAAAUGCUACCGAUGUGGUAUGGAAGGUCACUGGUCCCGUACCUGUCGUACGGCUGAACAUCUUGUUGACCUCUAUCAAGCAUCAUUGAAAAAGAAGGACAAAGAUGUCGAUACAAAUUUUAUCGACCAAAAGGAUGCUUAUAAUGAUGAUGAUGUUGACAUGACACACCUGGAUGUUGUCGAUUUCUUUGAGCAUCCUGAAGAUGCAAAAUGAUCAUAUAUUUAAUAUUUGUCUAGAUGUUUGAUAUGUUGUUAGUUUUGCAGGAUUGUCAAUUACUUUGGUAUGUUGUUUGAUAUGUUAUUAGUUUUAUCAAUUUACUUUGCAUAUGUCUAUUCUCACAUCUUUUAUUAAUGUUUAUUUAUUUUCUUCCUAAAGAAGAAAUGGAUGUCAAAUAUUUGGGUCUAUAUAAUGGUGAUGAUAUCAUUUGUCUCAUUGAUAGUGCUUCUACGCACACUAUAUUAAAAAAUAAAAGAUAUUUUUCUUCUUUGGAGAUGGGAGAGACAAAUAUUAAUACCAUCAGUGGUAGUACAAAAUUAAUUGAGAGCUCCGGAAGAGCCACUCCAUUUCUCCCUAAAGGAAUUAAAAUUGUCAUAAAUAAUGUACUAUUCUCUCCCAAGUCUCGAAAAAAUUUAUCCGUCGAAAUAGAUAUCAAAUUGAGACAUUCUAUGAGACAAUAAUAGAGAUCAUGUUUAUAAAUCAAGUGAAAUAAAGGUUAAUCAUAUCAUAAUAAUCAUUCGAGUGCGUAACGGCCACCUCUAUGGCCACAUCCACGUCCACGACCUCGAACAGAAUUUUGAAAUUGAGUCGCAUUCGCUUCAGGGAAUGGACUUGCACCAGUUGGUCGGGACUCGUGAUUUUUCAGCAAUAAUUCAUUAUUUUGUUCAGCCAAGAGGAGACAUGCAAUAAGUUCAGAAUAUUUCUUAAAUCCUUUCUCUCUAUAUUGCUGCUGCAGGAGCAUAUUAGAGACAUGAAAAAUAGAGAAUGUUUUUUCUAACAUAUUUUCAUCAGUGACCUUUUCGCCACACAAUGAUAAUUGAGAAGUAAUUCUAAACAUAACUGAAUGAUAUUCGUCGACAGAUUUGAAAUCUUGUAGUUGUAAGUGAAGCCAAUCAUAUCGGGCUUUUGGAAGAACGAUCAACUUCAGGUGGUCGAAUCUUUCUUUCAAAUCUUGCCAAAGGACAAGAGGAUCUUUGACUGUAAGAUACUCCACUUUUAAUCCUUCAUCUAAAUGACGACGAAGGAAAAUCAUGGCCUUAGCACAGUCUUGGUUUGAGCCAUCAUUCUCAUCAAUAAUAGUAUUGCCAAGACCCAUUGUCUCAGGAUGAAUUUCAACAUCCAAAACCCACGAUAAAUAAUUUUUUCCAGAAAUAUCAAGAGGUAUGAACUCUUGUUUUGUGAGAUUAGCCAUAAGACUAUGCAAUAGAUUCGUAGGAAAGAAUUUUACCUUGAUAAGUAGUCAAAAGUUGUUCGGGCAGAACCUUGACACGUCUCGUGCUUCACUUUUACUUCGCGUCUUUCCUUCACUCAAAGUAGAGACUCGUGCUUUUCCUUAAUUCAAGGUAGAGACUCGUGCUGAUAACGUGUUGUGAAACUAUUAAAAUAAAACGUAGGGAUUGAAAUAGUAGAGUGAGAAGAAGAGAGAGAUAGAGUUAUUAUAUCUACUGAUCAAAGUACUUCCAAGUUUCAAGAUUUCCAAGGUUUUCAAGGUUACAAAUGAAGUAGGAUACACCCCUAUAUAUAGGUGAUCCAAGAUUAAAGGUACAUGAACCCUAUUAAAUACAAAUACAUGAAUUUAGUAUAUCAAGUACAUCCAUAAAUGAGUUCAUCCAAUGUACCAAUGAAUCUAGGGAGAAUACAUGUGACUAUCAUCUUGAAAAUACAAACAGACAUCUUCAUCUUGUAAUCCUUCUUGAGAAUAUCAACGGAUAGUCACAUCUAGAGAAUAUCAAUGGACAUCCACACCUUAUCAUUAUUUCAUAACACUUUUCCUUGGAUGUCCAUGACACAAAGAAUAUGCCUCGUUAAAAUCUUACUAGGAAAAAAUCCAGUGGGACAAAAACCCUAGUGAAGGAAAAAGAGUACACUAUUCUUGUGUAAUAAAUUCUCCCCCUGAUGCAAACAUUAUAUGAGAUCUUUUAGCCGACGCAUUCCAAUGUCGUUUUGAAGGCGAGGAACUAAAUCUUGCUAAUAAAUUCACAGCAAAUUAUAUAUCUGGCCUUGUACAAUUAGCAAGAUACAUAAGCGCACCAAUUGCACUGAGAUAUGGUACUUCAGGACCAAGUAUCUUUUCAUGUUCCUCUUGUGGCCUAAAGGGAUCCUUAUAAGGAUCUAAUGAUCUGAUGACCAUUGGGGUACUUAAUAUAUGUGCUUUAUCCAUACGGAACCGCUUUAAUACCUUCUGGGUAUAAGCAGUUUGGUGAACAAAAAUUUCACCUUCUAAAUGCUCAAUUUGUAAACCAAUACAGAAUUUUGUCUUUUCAAAAUUUUUGAUCUCAAAUUCUUUCUUCAAAUAUUGGACAGCCUUUUGGAUCUCUUCAGGAGUUCCAAUCAAAUUGAGAUCAUCAACAUAUAUUGUAAUAAUUACAAAAUUUGACUCAUUUUUCUUGAUUAAAACACAUGGACAUAUUGGGUCAUUGGUAUAACCUUCUUUAGUUAAGCAUUCAUUGAGGCGGUUAUACCACAUACGUCCAGAUUGUUUGAACCCAUAUAAAGACUUUUGUAUUCUAAUAGAAUACACAUCUCUAGGAUUUGAUUUACAUGCUUCAGGUAUGUUGAAUCCUUCAGGGAUUCUCAUGUAAAUAUUAUUGUCAAGAUUCCUAUACAAAUAAGCAGUGACAACGUCCAUCAGACGCAUAUCAAGUUUUUCAUGCACUGCAAUACUCACAAGAUAUCUAAAUGUGAUCGUAUCCACCACAGGUGAAUACGUUUCAUCAUAAUCAAAUCAAGGCCUUUGUGAAAAGUCUUGAGUUACAAGUUUUGCUUUAUAUCUCACUAUUUCAUUUCUUUUCCUUACAAAAACCCAUUUAUAUCCAACUGACUUUACAUCUUCAAGUGUUUGGACUACAGGUCCAAAUACAUUUCUUUUAGCUAGUGAAUCAAAUUCAGAUUGUAUCGGCCUUUUCAUUUUGACCAAUUAUUACUAUGCCGACAUUCAUCAACCGAUCUAGAUUCAUGAUUUUCAUCAACUUCUAUAAUAUUAAGUGCUAUAUUUCAUUAGGCUCCAAUUAACUUUUUUAUAAUUUCAUUCUCUUUAGGAGUUGGCUCUUCUGGAGCUGGCUCUUCAGGAGCGACCUCUUCAGGAGGUUAAAUUUUGUCAUGACAUUUAUUUAAUCUCCGGAGAUAUUUGAAAUCAAUUUAUACCUUAUAUAGGUAGGUCGGCCUUUAUUUGUAGCACUUGUACAUGUCCUUCAGGGACAUCAAUUUUAACAAGAAUAUUUUCUGCAGGAAUAGUUGAUUUAAUAACUCUUCUGGUGUCGAUAAAUAUAACUUUCUUCAAAUGAAGAAUUUCUUGAACUUCUAGUUCACGUUAUUUUAUAUGAGAAUCGAGAAAAUCCAAUUUUCAGAUAAUUUCCCUUCGGUUGAUCAUUUCCUCCCCCUAAUGUCGGGAAUCGUAGCUCAUCAGAAGAAAUAAAGUUUUCGAUAGAUCACUCUUCGGGGUGAUGCAUCCUGACAUAAAUUUCUUUUGAAACUAUGUAUAAUAUAAAAGGGGUAUGUAUAAAUACUUGUCGACAUUCAAAUAUUCUCACUUUUGUCAAAUCAUAUAUUUAUUGGAAUCAAUAAACUUCUGGUUUACUGCAGGUGAUGAUUAUAAAGCAAAUGAGAAUGAAGAUAACUAUAUCGAUAACCAUUACGCUCUCGAACGAUUAUUAAGAUAUAAUUAACCUUUAUCUCAUUUGAUUUCUAAACAUGAUCUCUAUUAUUAUCUCAUAGAAUAUCUCAAUUUGAUAUCCAUUGUGACGGAUAUCUUUAAUAAAUUUCUUCGAGACUUGGGAGAGAGUAGUGUAAUAUUUAUGACAAUUUUAGUUCCUUCAGGGAAAAAUAGAGUGACUCUUCCGGAACCCUUAAUUAAUUUUGCACUACCACUGAUGGUAUUAACAUUUGUCUCUCUCAUCUCCAAAGAAGAAAAAUAUCUUUUAUUUUUCAAUAUACUGUGCAUAAAAGCACUACUAAUGAGACAAAUGUUAUCAUCACCAUUAUUUGAUCCCAAAUAUUUGGCAUUCAUUUCUUCUUCAGGAAGAAAAUAAAUGAAACUAAAUAUUGAUAAAAGAUACGAGAAUAGACAUUAGCAAAGUAAAUUGAUAAAGCUAACAACAUAUCAAACAACAUACCAAAGUAAUUGACAAUCUUGCAAAACUAACAACAUAUCAAAUAUCUAGACAAAUAUUAAAUAUAUGAUCAUUUUGCAUCUUCAGGAUGUUCAAAGAAAUCGGCAACAUCUAGGUGUGUCAUGUCAGCAUCAUCAUCAUCAUAAGCAUCCUUUUGGUCGAUAAAAUUUGUUUCGACAUGUUUGUCCUUCUUUUUCAAUGAUGCUUGAUAGAGGUCAACAAGAUGUUCAGCCGUACGACAGGUACGGGACCAAUGACCUUCCAUACCACAUUGGUAGCAUUUUUCUUCAUAAACUUUCUUUUCUCCUUCUUUCGGAUAGUAGUCAUUUUCUCUCUCUUGAGAAAUAUUUUGUUGCUUGCUACGGCGAUAAUUUUCACGGGGCAUAAAUCUACUACGAUCACGUUCACGGUCACGGCCUCUUCCACGGCCACCUCUAUGGCCACGUCAACGUCUACGACCUCGAACAAAAUUUUGAAAUUGAGUCGCAUUCACUUCAGGGAAUGAACUUGCACCAGUUGGUCGGGACUCGUGAUUUUUCAGCAAUAAUUCAUUAUUUUGUUCAGCCAAGAGGAGACAUGCAAUAAGUUCAGAAUAUUUCUUAAAUCCUUUCUCUCUAUAUUGCUGCUGCAGGAGCAUAUUAGAGACAUGAAAAAUAGAGAAUGUUUUUUCUAACAUAUUUUCAUCAGUGACCUUUUCGCCACACAAUGAUAAUUGAGAAGUAAUUCUAAACAUAGCUGAAUGAUAUUCGUCGACAGAUUUGAAAUCUUGUAGUCGUAAGUGGAGCCAAUCAUAUCGGGCUUUUGGAAAAAUGACCAACUUCAGGUGAUCGAAUCUUUCUUUCAAAUCUCGCCAAAGGACAAGAGGAUCUUUGACAGUAAGAUAUUCUACUUUUAAUCCUUCAUCUAAAUGACGACGAAGAAAAAUCAUGGCCUUAGCACGGUCUUGGUUUGAGGCAUCAUUCUCAUCAACAAUGGUAUUACCAAGACCCAUUGCCUCAAGAUGAAUUUCAAUAUCCAAUACCCACGAUAAAUAAUUUUUUUCAGAAAUAUUAAGAGGUACGAACUCUUGUUUUGUGAGAUUAGCCAUAAGAAUAUGUAAUAGAUAUGUAGGAAAAAAUUUUAAGUAGUCAAAAGUUGUUCGGGCAGAAUCUUGACAUGUCUCGUGCUUCACUUUUGCUUCGCUCCUUUCCUUCACUCAAAGUAGAGACUCGUACUUUUCCUUAACUCAAGGGAGAGACUCGUGUUGAUAACGUGUUGUGAAACUAAUAAAAUACACCACUAACGAAGGGAUUGGAAUAGUAGAGUCAGAAGAAGAGAGAGAUAGAAUUAUUAUAUUUACUGAUCAAAAUACUUCCAGGUUUCAAGGUUACAAAUGAAGUAGGAUACACCCCUAUAUAUAGGUGAUCCAAGAUCAAAGGUACAUGAACCCUAUUAAAUACAAAUACAUGCAUUUAGUACAUCAAAUACAUCCAUAAAUGAGUUCAUCCAAUGUACCAAUGAAUCUAGGGAGAAUACAUGUGACUAUCAUCUUGAGAAUACCAAUCGACAUCUUCAUCUUGUAAUCCUUCUUGAGAAUAUCAGCGGACAGCCACAUCUAGAGAAUAUCAAUGGACAUCCACAUCUUAUCAUUAUUUCAUAACGUGUUGUGAUAACGUGUUGUGAAACUAAUAAAAUAAACUCCCAACGUAGGGAUUGAAAUAGUAGAGUGAGAAGAAGAGAUAUUAUAUUUUUUGAUCAAAGUACUUCCAAGUUUCAAGGUUUUCAAGGUUACAAAUGAAGUAAGAUAUACCCCUAUAUAUAGGUGAUCCAAGAUCAAAGGUACAUGAACCCUAUUAAAUACAAAUACAUGAAUUUAGUACAUUAAGUGCAUCCAUAAAUGAGUUCAUCCAAUGUAUCAAUGAAUCUAGGGAGAAUACAUGUGACUAUCAUCUUGAAAAUACAAACGGACAUUUUCAUCUUGUAAUCCUUCUUGAGAAUAUUAACGGACAGCCACAUCUAGAGAAUAUCAAUGGACAUCCACAUCUUAUCAUUAUUUCAUAACACUCCCCCUUGGAUGUCCAUUACACAAAGAAUAUGCCUCGUUAAAAUCUUACUAGGAAAAAAUUCAGUGGGACAAAAACCUUAGUGAAGGAAAAAGAAUAUGCCUCAGUGGGACAAAAACCUUAGUGAAGGAUGUCCAUUACACAAAGAAUAUGCCUCGUUAAAAUCUUACUAGGAAAAAAUUCAGUGGGACAAAAACCUUAGUGAAGGAAAAAGAGUACACUAUUCUUGUGUAAUAAAUUCUCCCCCUGAAGCAAACAUUAUAUGAGAUUUUUUAACCGACGCAUACCAAUAUUUUUCACCAGUUUCCCAAACGUAGCAGUCGGCAAAUCCUUGGUAAACAAAUCUGCCAAAUUAUUAUCCGAUCGGAUUUGUAGCACAUCAAUCUCACCAUUCUUCUGCAAAUCAUGAGUAAAGAAGAAUUUGCGUGAAAUGUGUUUCGUCAUAUCUCCCUUAAUAUAUCCUCCUUUUAAUUGAGUUAUACAAGCUGCAUUAUUUUCAUAUAAAAUAAUUGGAGGAAUUUUCUUCUCGAAUGAUAACCCACAACUUUUCCGGAUGUAGUGGGUCAUUGAUUUUAGCCAAAUGCAUUCUCGACUGGCUUCAUGAAUUGCUAUUAUUUCAGCAUGAUUUGAUGAAGUGGCAGUUAAGCAAUGUUUUGUAGAACGCCAAGAAAUGGCUGUUCCGCCACAAGUAAAGAAAUAGCCAGUCUGAGAUUGUGCUUUAUGUGGGUCAAACAAAUACCCAGCAUCAGCAUAUCCAAGCAACUCAGGUUUAGAUUUAUUUGAAUAAAACAAACCAAGAUCAAUUAUUCCUUGGAGAUAGCGAAAAAUGUGUUUAAUGCCAUUCCAAUGUUGUUUUGUAGGCGAGGAACUGAAUCUUGCUAAUAAAUUCACAGCAAAUGAUAUAUCUGGCCUUGUACAAUUAGCAAGAUACAUAAGUGCACUAAUUGCACUGAGAUAUGGUACUUCAGGACCAAGUAUCUUUUCAUGUUCCUCUUGUGGCCUAAAGGGAUCCUUAUAAGGAUCCAAUGAUCUGACGACCAUUGGGGUACUUCAUGUAUGUGUUUUAUCCAUACGGAACCGCUUUAAUACCUUUUAGGUAUAAGCAGUUUGGUGAACAAAAAUUUCACCUUAUAAAUGCUCAAUUUGUAAACCAAGACAGAAUUUUGUCUUUCCAAAAUUUUUGAUCUCAAAUUCUUUCUUCGAAUAUUGGACAGCCUUUUGGAUCUCUUCAGGAGUUCCAAUCGAAUUGAGAUCAUCAACAUAUAUCGCAAUAAUCACAAAAUUUGACCCAUUUUCUUGAUUAAAACACAUGGACAUAUUGGAUCAUUGGUAUAACCUUCUUUAGUUAAACAUUCAUUGAGGCGGUUAUACCAUAUACGUCCAGAUUGUUUGAACCCAUACAAAGACUUUUGUAUUCUAAUAGAAUAUGCAUCUCUAGAAUUUGAUUUACAUGCUUCAGGCAUGUUGAAUCCUUCAGGGAUUCUCAUGUAAAUAUUAUUGUCAAGAUUCCCAUACAAAUAAACAAUGACAACGUCCAUUAGACGCAUAUCAAGUUUUUCAUGCACUGCAAUACUCACAAGAUAUCUAAAUGUGAUCGUAUCCACUACAGGUGAAUACGUUUCAUCAUAAUCAAAUCCAGGCCUUUGUGAAAAGCCUUGGGCUACAAGUCUUGCUUUAUAUCUUACUAUUUCAUUCUUUUCAUUUUGGCCAAUCAUUUCUAUGCCGACAUUCAUCAACCGAUCUAUAUUCAUGAUGCUCAUCAACUUUUAUAAUAUCAAGUGCUACAUUUUAUUAGGCUCUAAUUAACUUUUCUAUAAUUUCAUUCUCUUCAGGAGUUGGCUCUUCGGGAGCUGGCUUUUCGGGAGCUGACUCUUCAGGAGCGACCUCUUCAGGAGGUUAAAUUUUGUCAUGACAUUUAUUUAAUCUCCGGAGAUAUUUGAAAUCAAUAUAUACCUUAUAUAGGUAGGCCAGCCUUUAUUUGUAGCACUUGUACAUGUCCUUCAGGGAUAUCAAUUUUAACAAGAGUAUUUCCUGCAAGAAUAGUUGAUUUAAUAACUCUUCUGGAGUCGGUAACUUUCUUCAAAUGAAGAAUUUCUUGAACUUCUAGUUCACAUUAGUUUAUACGAGGAUCGAGGAAUCCAAUUUUCAGAUGAUUUCCUUUCGGAUGAAACGUAUUCACCUGUAGUGGAUACGAUCAUGUUUAGAUAUCUUGUGAGUAUUGCAGUGCAUGAAAAACUUAAUAUACGUCUGAUGGACGUUGUCACUGCUUAUUUGUAUGGGAAUCUUGAAAAUAAUAUUUACAUGAAAAUCUUUGAAGGAUUCAACAUGCCUGAAGCAUGUAAAUCAAAUCCUAGAGAUGUGUAUUCUAUUAGAAUACAAAAGUCCUUGUAUGGGCUCAAGCAAUUUGGACGUAUGUGGUAUAACCGCCUCAAUGAAUGUUUAACUAAAGAAGGUUAUACCAAUGACCCAAUAUGUCCAUGUGUUUUUAUCAAAAAAAAUGGGUCAAAUUUUGUGAUUAUUGCUAUAUAUGUUGAUGAUUUCAAUUUGAUUGGAACUCCUGAAGAGAUCCAAAAGGCUGUCCAAUAUUUGAAGAAAGAAUUUGAGAUCAAAGAUUUUGGAAAGACAAAAUUCUGUCUUGAUUUACAAAUUUGAGCAUUUAGAAGGUAAAUUUUUUUUCACCAAACUGCUUAUACCCAGAAGGUAUUAAAGCGGUUCCGUAUGGAUAAAACACAUACAUUAAGUACCCUAAUGGUUAUCAGAUCAUUGGAUACUUAUAAGGAUCCCUUUAGGCCACAAGAGGAACAUGAAGAGAUACUUGAUCCUGAAAUACCAUAUCUCAGUGCAAUUAGUGCGCUUAUGUAUCUUGCUAAUUGUACAAGGCCAGAUAUAUCAUUUGCUGUGAAUUUAUUAACAAGAUUCAGUUUCUCGCCUACAAAACGACAUUGGAAUGGCAUUAAACACAUUUUUCGCUAUCUCCAAGGAACAAUUGAUCUUGGUUUGUUUUAUUCAAAUAAAUCUAAACCUGAGUUGCUUGGAUAUGCUGAUGCUGGAUAUUUGUCUGACCCAUAUAAAGCACGAUCUCAAACUGGCUAUCUCUUUACUUGUGACAGAACAGCCAUUUCUUGACGUUCUACAAAACAAUUCUUAACUGCCACUUCAUCAAAUCAUGCUGAAAUAAUAGCAAUUUAUGAAGUCAGUCGAGAAUGCAUUUGGUUAAGAUCAAUGACCCACUACAUCCGGAAGAGUUGUGGGUUAUCCUCCGAGAAGAAAAUUCUUCCAACUAUUUUAUAUGAAGAUAAUGCAGCUUGUAUAGGUCAAUUAAAAUGAGGAUAUAUUAAGGGAGAUAGGACGAAACACAUUUCACCGAAAUUCUUCUUUACUCAUGAUUUGUAGAAGGAUGGUGAGAUUGAUGUGUUACAAAUCCGAUCGGAUAAUAAUUUGGCAGAUUUGUUUACCAAGGCUUUGCCGACUGCUACGUUUGGGAAACUGGUGAAGAAUAUUGGUAUGUGUCGGUUAAAAGAUCUCAUAUAAUGUUUGCAUCAAGGGGAGAAUUUAUUACACAAAAAUAGUGUACUCUUUUUCCUUCACUAGGGUUUUUGUCCCACUGGAUUUUUCCCUAGUAAGGUUUUAACAAGGCAUAUUCUUUGUGUAAUAGACAUCCAAGGGGGAGUGUUAUGAAAUAAUGAUAAGAUAUGGAUGUCCAUUGAUAUUCUCUAGAUGUGGCUGUCCGUUGAUAUUCUCAAGAAGGAUUACAAGAUGAAGAUGUCCAUUUGUAUUCUCAAGAUGAUAGUUAUAUGUAUUCUUCCUAGAUUCAUUGGUACAUUGGAUGAACUCAUUUAUGGAUGUAUUUGAUGUACUAAAUUCAUGUAUUUGUAUUUAAUAGGGUUCAUGUACAUUUUGAUCUUGGAUCACCUAUAUAUAGGGGUGUAUCCUACUUCAUUUGUAACCUUGGAAACCUUGGAAACCUGGAAGUACUUUGAUCGGUAAAUAUAAUAAUUCUAUCUCUCUUUUCUUCUCACUCUACUAUUUCAAUCCUUACGUUGGGAAUUUAUUUUAUUAGUUUCACAACAUACAAUGCAUUUUAACAUGUUAUACUUGGACCGGCUGAUCAAGAGGAUUGCAGAUGAAUUGGCACAAAGUUGAACAUAUCAAACUGGCUAGUGUUGGCAAAAUAAACUACACUAGAAGUUUCAAUCAAUUAUUGUCAUUAAAUUAUCUAGAUUGAAUAGACGAUAUAAACCAAAGUAUUGACUACGAACGUUAGAAAUUUUAAUUUGGGGAUAAAAAUUAUGAUAUCCUUGUAUUUAGUGGUUUAUUGAGAAAUAAUGUUUAAAAGGUAAGAAAUUAAGUGGAGGAUUUAAAGAUGGAAAAUAUAUUCUAAGGAAGGCUAAGAAAAAAAGGAUUUUCAAAUCCAUUGCUUACCUAAAGUAUCUAGUGGGACCACUAAUUACCGUAGAAGUUUUAAUAAACACCUAACUAAAUGGAUAAACACCUAACUAAAUUGAUAAUCUUAAAUGGAAUACUAUGAGUAUAUAAAAGGAAGAAAUAGAAUGAUCAUACGAAAAAGUAAAAGCACUCCCUUCAUUCUUGUUCUUCUAUUAGCAUAGUUGACAAAUUAUCCUAUAAUAAUUUGGUAAUUGACAGACGAGUGUUAUAAACUUUGUACCGGAAUGUUGGAGUAGAGCUGGAGAAAAUACGUCUCGCAAUUUGCGGAGAAUUUGGUGAUUUAACAGCACUUGGGUGUGAAUAGAUCUUGUUGAAAAAAGUCUCCUAAUCUACCCUUUCAAUUUGGCAACUUGAAGAUUUAACACUACUUGGAGGCUUGAGGAACUUGAGCAACGCGUAACAAACUGUGCUAAAUUUCAGGACUUGUGGAUCAAAAAAAGUAGAACGAUUGUAAAAUUUCAAGAACUUGAACCUUUGAUAAUGAUGUGAUGUAGAGCUCCAAAUAGGCCUAUCAGUUGGACCAUCUAAGUUGAAUUUUAAUAAAUUCAAAUUUGACUCAUAUAUAGUUAGUACAUUUUUGAAUUAAUGGAGUGGAGCAACAAAGCCUCCUUGCCCAUACUAACGCUUUUAGACAAGCUAAUGGUUCCGCUUGAACUGCAGAUUCCACAAAAUUACAAACAUUUUAUUUAGUGAGUUUGUGUAUUACCUGACCAUGAGAAUUUAAAACUACGAAACCAAUACUACCACUCAUCAACUGAGCAUCAAAUGACCCAUUUGUGACAAUAGUGAUGCAAUGUGUUUAUUUGGAUAUGUAAUUAUUAAUUAUAUAUACCAAAGUAUAUAUGUAUUAUAUAUAUAUAUAUAUGACAGGUGUCGAACCUGUUCAAAAAUAAAGAACCUAAUUGCCACCAAAAAGUCUAAUGAAUUAUUAAAUUGAGUACAAUGGCAAGCAGGGUCGUUUCCUCAGGGACCGAAGAAAAUUCGCUCCUUUUCAAGUCAAAGAGAAACGGGGGUUUUGAGAAUUAAAUGCUAACGAAUUAUUAACCAAAUUAAUCAACUGUGAAAAUUAAUUAAGAGAGACAAAUAAUGGGAAAAACUCUAGCUAAGGAUACACUUCAGAAGUGGUUCAGGUAACUAAUCAUUGAUGCAGUUAUAAUUUCAACAUUCAUUAAUAAACAGGUUUUAACUGCCGAUACGAUCUGACAAUCAAUUCCUCCAUACUGUUUCGAUAGUCAAGGUACGACCAUUAACUAUUUUCCUAAUUUAGGAAUAACCCUAGGUAUGACUUUAGAAUUUAAUUCCUCAAUUGCAUUAGAAAUUAGAGAAAUCCUGUUCUAAUCAAUAAAAACGCUAGGAGGGUUUAUUUAAAUUAGAUCGUGCGUUUUCCUGACACAAAUCUAAUUAUGUCAGUUGCUACCGGGAUUAGAGUAGUCAAACAAUUACGGAUCCAACUAUUCUAAUUAGCAAAUAUAUUAUGUGAAUAAUUAAAUAUUGCGUACCUAUUUAAUCAUACACAAUAAUCUUAACCUAUAAAAGCAGAAAUCUUGCAAAUACCAAUAAGUAGAAGAAACAAAUAAAAUCAGUUAGAUCUCAUAGUGAUAGCUGAACCAAAUCUGCAGUUGUCCCUUGACUAGAGAAUACGAAAUUAGUUUUCCAUUAAUAGAGAACAAGCCACGCAAGAAGAAUCUGUUGGAAGCUUACAAUCCUUGUUUUUCUUAAUUGUCGCCGAAGAAAAAAACUAAGUCUUUUCCUCCUAAAACGAAAGCCUUCCGCCACCCUAAAUCUCCUUUCUUCGCGGCCCUCUCCCAAAGGAAUGAGAGCCCCUCAUGAUCUAGAAUCCAAGUCUAUUAGAACUUUUCUAAUCUGUAAUCUAACAGAUUUCCUAAUAACAAAUAUCACCAAAAAAAAUAUUUUAGUUUCUGAUAGUACUCAACUACUAAAUAGAAAAGGGCAAUAAGUAUUCCAGCAUAGCCACGGACUUGAAAUCCACAAUUCUUUGGAAACUGUCCACGUGCGCGUGAGAUCCCAACAAUCCAGUUUUGGAAAUAUGACUGGAGCGCGCCCAGGUCUAACUGUCAAACGGUCUUUACGAAGGUUGAUUUUCAGCACCUUUUUUCACCAAUUUCUGCAAGUAGCACCAAACACAAAACCUAAGUAGAAUCCACCAAAUGGCGCAGUAUUUAGCCCGAACAAUUAGGAAAUAUUAAUGAAAUAACCCACUAAAAUGUACCCUAUCAAUAUAUAUAUAUAUAUAUAUAUAGCUAUAGAUUAAUGGGCCGAACCUAUAUUUGGUUUGAACUUAAUAAGGUCCAACCUCAGUUCACAUUUAAUUCAGGUAUAAUAUAUUGGUCGAAUCUCAAUUCAUUCCAAUAAAACGGUUAGACUCAUCGAAUUGUUUAUUGUAUCAAACAGGUUGAUUGGCUUGAUCCCAUUGAUAGUCCUAGCUCCAAGGAUUUGAAAGAUUGAACUCCAAGAAUUCGAGUGUCGAAAAACGUAAAUCCCUUGGAGGAACUUGAUGAAACUUAGGAUUUGAGGAUGACUUCAAAGACUUAAGGGAUUCAAUCCAGAUUUGAGAGACAUGACCAUACUUUGUCUUGAAGCCUAUCUCUGCAACUUGUUUCUCUCAGUCCCAUAAUUAAAGGCAACAUAUUGGGUUGGACCAUUUGGCCCAUUGAAAUGGUCCAAAACAUUUUUAGUGGACUUCAAUUAAUUUAAAGUAUAGCCUCUAGUUUGGACCGAAAUCCAAUAAGGCCCAAUUACUUGUUUUACAAAUGAAUGGGGUUUAACUUAGGUUACCCAUUUAAUUAACUGAUAAAGAAAAUACAUCUAAUUAUAAGUUAAUAAUAUUAUAUAUGCUGAUAGCAUUUACUAUUCUAUAAUAGCUGAAUGCAUGACACACAUAAAUUUAGAUUUCAAAGUCAAACUCAGAUUCAUUGAUAUGAAUCCAAACCUGACAAUUUAUACACUAUUAGAGUAUAGAAAAAUUAAUGCUUUAAUUAUUUGUGAGACUAAUUAGAUGCCAAAAUUUCGAUGUCCGACUAGGAUCUGGAUUAAAUCAAUUGCAGCAAUAGUGAAUGGGCACCUUUAACUAUAAUUAAGUUUGAAUUGGAAAGCAUUUUAUAAUAGUAUCAAUAUAUAUAUAUAUAUAGUAAAUCUUAUAUAUACUGACAGUGCAUGCACUAUUAUCGUUGGAUCCAUGACACGUGCAAAAAUUGAAUUUUAAAUUCAAAUUUUGUAUAAUUGUCAUUCAUCUAACACUGACAAUAUAACGCUAAUAAUGCACUGAAAGAUUAAUCCAUAUAUAAUUUAUACGUGUAAGACUUGGAGUCUAUGGAAUUUGCUUCUGCCUUCUAUGGGAUUGGAAGAAUUUACGGGAAGAUGGUCCGAGCACUCGUCGGAUACAGUUGCACUCAGUCAACUUUUAAACUCAAGCUCGUACGGCGUUAACUAAUGACUGAGCUUAAUUUCUGUGGAUUACUCACACCAGAUAAAUGUUAUUAAGUGAAGCUAGUAUACAUUAAACUUAUAAUUUGAUUUGUUUAGUUUAGACUUAAAGAAACUAUGAUUCUGGUUGAAUUCAAUUGAAUUAAUGAGAAAUACAGCAGUGAUGCCCAAUAUUUGGCCUGUGUGCCAAAUUGGUUUCCAAUAUUUUGACCAAAACAAAUUUAGUCACCAAAGUUUUUAAUUUUAGGCAGAUUUAGGACGACUAAAGGAAAUUGUUUUAACUCUGCAUUUUUGGUCCCUAAUGUUUUUAUUUUGAAUCAUAUAUUUUUCUAAAUUUUAAAUGAUGAUAUUAAGGAUUUUAUCAUUAAUUGAGAUGCAAAUUAGAAUGAAAUAGUAUUCAAUGAGUAAUAAGAAUUCUAAUUAAACUUCUUUUCUUCUUUUUUAUUUUAUUUAUUCAUGCUAUUAAUAUACCAUAUGUUUCUUUUCUUUUGAAUAGUUAGUCUUUGGUAUAAUAUACGUAUAUUAUUGUUUCUCACUAUUAAUAAUUAAUUGAUAAUCAGUAUUAUUAUUUAUAUUUAUAAUUAUAAUUAAAAAUUAAUUAAAUAUUCCUUUAAAAUAUAAUGAAUAUAUACUUUUUGUAAAUUAAAUUGAUCUUUUUUUGGCAUUUUAAUAGGUUAUCAAUUGAUUUUGAAAUAAAUUUGACAUUUUUUACACAUUAUAUAUAACAUUAAAUUAUCAUCAAGGUACAUAAAUAUUAAAAUAAAUACAUUAAAAAGACAAUGUUGGAACCUUAGAUUUUAAUUACCAAGAAAGACAACAAAAACUAAAAAGAUAGUUUUCUUAAGAAUUUCUAAAAUUACUUCAUAUUUAUACCUACCUUCACUAGUUUCUAUAAGUACAAUGCCUAACAUUUAAUUAAGUUUUUAAUUAUCAUUAGAAAUAAAAUGAUAAAACUCAUUAUCAAUUAAUUACUAAUAGUGUGAAACAAUAAUAUACAUAUACACUAAAAUGUCUAUAAAUUAAUUCCUUUGGGAGCAUACAAAUUCUAUUAAUUUAGAGAGGUAUUAAUUAAUCGAUAAAUUAAUAAUUUAUUAAUAUGUCAAAUAUACUUAUAAUUAUAUCUAAAGAAUAUUAAUCAAUCCAUAUCUACUUGAUUUGUAAGUAUAAUUUAAUUCUAUUAAUAUCUACAUAAUCGAUAUCAUUUUUGUAUUAUCAAGAUGCCAAAAAGAUUUAGGAAUACUAAGUAAUAGAUGUCAAAAAGAUAGAUGCCCACAUGCAUGUCGGGUGCUCUCUAUUAUAUUCACUCACAUAAUGCUUUAUGCAUUUGAUCAGUCAUGGUUGAUUUUGGACGAUAUUCAGUUAGAUUUAAGUUUUAAGAAAAAACAAGUAACAAUAGACUUAUAUUUUAGGAAAAUGUAAUAUGAAAUUUUAGUUAAUUAUUAAUUAUUAUAUGAAUGGGACCAAAGGACUAUAUAAGGUUUUCAAAAAAUUACUAUCUUAUUAUUUUAUCAAAAUUAUUAAUUUAGCUUGUUAGCCUAAGUAGGGACUAAAAAAAUUAUUAUUUAAUAGAAGUUAUUAAUUUAUCGAAUAUUAUUUUUUGACUUUCAACGUAAACCUCUGAUAUUUGUGUGUGUAUGUAUAUGUAUGUAUGUAUUCUUUAUAAACUUUGCUGCAAGAACCUGGAUAAAUAGUCAUUUAACUAGUCGUUAGUAUCCACCGUUAUUUCAUGUAUUGUUGGUAAAUUUCUUUCAAUUGCACGACAACCAUUGAAUUUUACUAAUUCUUAAUAGCUUUUCAUAGUUUGUCAUUUCUUUAUUAAUACAACUUGGCAAGUAGUAUGAAGGGCAAAUCUGGUACAAAUUUCUCAUCUCACUCCUUACAAAAAAAAAUUUAAUGGUAACUUUUCUGGUAUGGACUGAAUGUGCAACACAAACCUUAUGUUCAAGGGUGGUAAGUGCUAUUUUUUAAACUACAAGGGAGGUAAGUGCUAGUGUAAGAAACCUCAGGGGAGGUUUAUGCAAUUUCCCAAACUUAUAUGUUGGUCUGCCCCUUCCAAGAAUGAUUCCAACUGAACACUGGGGAGGGUGUGUUUUAUUGGAACUCCGCUGUGAAACAAAUGCGUGUGGAGAAUAAAGGGGUGAACCUCUUUUGGCAAAGGCCCUUGACAUCUCUCAAAUUGAAGUUGAAGUUGAUGUAGAAACUGUCCUAUCUCCAAUGCUGACAUAAAUAUGCUGCUUUUCUUGUGGACUGUCGGCUCCUGAUUUCAUCCUUCGAAGGGGUCCACCUCAACCAUGUUUAUUUACAGAGAAGGAAACCAAGCGGCUGAUGCUUCAGCAAAGUUAGGCUGUGAUCAAACUGUUUCUUUUGUCUCGCAUUUUGUUUGGCCUCCAGAAAUUAUAUCUAUUCUGGAUAGAGACAUUAGGGCCAUGAGUACCCCACCCCAUGUUUUGUAAUUGAGAAACUUUAAUCUUAAUUCAAUUUCUUUUAUUAUCAAAUUAAAAAAAAAAAGAAGGAAAUGAUGUAAUUUCGGUAACGACUAAAUUAAAAAUACAAAAGAAAAAAGCACCAUGGAUACUUUUUUUUUUAAUCAAGCAAGGCAAAAUAUAUUAAAAGAAGCAAGAUUACAAACGUACGUAAAAUAGGAUGGAUCUGACAGUAUUAAUAGUAGUCUUGGCAGAAUGGGCACAAUGGAUACUGAUCAGUGUUUAUACUGUGCAAAAGUGUAUGAGAUAGUUCCUUCUUAUUUGGAUUCAUUUCUGUUCUUUUCCAAGUAAUCUACAGACUUCUGUAGAUAACUGUUGUGCAAAUCCUGAUCUCCAAAU
This 45937-nucleotide long non-coding RNA is filed under the name Coffea arabica (coffee). RNAcentral describes it as "long non-coding RNA (CARA_LNC007339)". The record is from RNAcentral. Lineage: Eukaryota; Viridiplantae; Streptophyta; Magnoliopsida; Gentianales; Rubiaceae.